This 73771-nucleotide long non-coding RNA is filed under the name Coffea arabica (coffee). RNAcentral describes it as "long non-coding RNA (CARA_LNC004922)". The record is from RNAcentral. Lineage: Eukaryota; Viridiplantae; Streptophyta; Magnoliopsida; Gentianales; Rubiaceae.
UGAAAAUGCACAAUAGCUGCCCACCAAAAUAUUUCCAGCAAUUGUCUGUCUAAAAACUUCUACUCCAAGAACAUCUGCAAUCAUCUCCUCAGUUUCCUAUGAGAAGACACAGCACACCAAAAUUACCAGCUUAAUCAAUGAUUAAAAUAAGCUCAUUUUGAUUUAGACAGUAUAUCAUGCUCUACCCUUCCUGAAAAAAGUUAUAACCAGACAGAGAAAAGCUGAAUAAUUAGCAUAAAAUUAAUAAGGUAGAUUCCAAGUGAAAUAUCAAAUUGCCAUUGAAGAAGCAAAAUUUGAAACAAGUGCAGAAAGCAUCCAGCUGAAUAUCACCACAACCUAUUUGAGGCUUUUACCAAGAGGGAAAUGCAUGCAUACAACAAGAACUGCUGUCAGCAUUGAGAAGCAUGCAUAGACUUCAGAUUUGUCACAUGACAGGCAUAGGAUGUACAGGCAUAUAGAUAAACAUAGGGAGGAAGAGUCUAGAUGACACAUGCAAGUGUUUCAAUCAGGUCAAUUGCAUUCCCAGACAAUAUAAGAAUUGGAAAAGCACUGCUUUAUUAGGUAUAGCAAAAUUGCCACUAACUUUUUCACAUAAGAUAUAUGGUAUCCAAAUCAUUAAGCAUGUUAUUAUCAAGGGAAAGGACAAUAUUACCCUGUCGAGAUCGGUGUGUGUAAGUGCAACAUGAUCGUUGCAGGCAAUGCAGUUUCCCAAUGCAGAAAGUCUCUCAUCAAUGCGCUGAACAACAACUGAAUCUGGUAGACUAUUCCUCAAAUGCUGAAGUUCUUUAUCACAUAUAAUGUAAAUCAAAGUCAGAACCUUGAAAGUCCAUAACACAUCCACAAGCAAAGGUAGAUAAUUCUCAUAUGCACCACAACUUUUUUACGAACAAAUAGUGAUCUUAUGAUGACAUGUAAUACGUCAUCAAUUAAAUCCAACAAAAACAUGGUCAACCAACCCAAGAAGAAGACAAAUGAAAAAGGAAAAGAACAAAGAUUAUACAUUGCACAGUGUAGCUGAAUAUCAAUACUUGAAAGGAAAAUUAUUUGCUUAAAAAUUUUAAAGCUGUGAAUCAAAAGAUACACAAUAACUGUACUAGCAACAAGUUCAUGAAGUUGUUACCUUGAUCGGUGGUAGUAUGCGGUAAGAGAAGCCCAUUCUUGUUUCCUAAAUGAAAAAAGGGGGAAAGUUAUCCUAUCUAAACAGUCAUUCCAAUGGUACUCAUGUCUCUACAAGCAAAAUAACUCUAAGAGCCUUCUAAAGUCCUCACCAGCACAAAGUCUUCCAAUGAUCCUAGUGCCACCAAUCGCGGUCUUCACUACCGGAAUUACAUCAGCCAAUUCUGCCUCAAACGUACUACAAUACACAAUAUAUAGGUUACACACAAGAAAAAAGAUUUGCUGAAGAAAAAGGGAAAAUAAAUUUUAUCAUGUUAGUAGAGUAGCUUGAAGCGAACCUGUAGAAGUUCUCAGAACCUCCAAUGGCGACCAAGCAAUAAGCAUUGGUCAACUUAGAAAAAACUCCAACUUCGCAUGAAUUCUCAAAUUGCAAUCCUAAAAUUAAAAGCAACGAUAAUAAUUAUGAUAUUAAAGGAACAAUUUUCACGCCAUAAAUCAGCUAAAAUCAAUUCUUUUUUUUAACUCAAUGACUUAUUUGAACUGGAAUACUCACUGGUAGCCAUGAUUCCAAGGAUAUCAAACAAAUAUAAACACCUACUCGAUAUUAGAUCUGAAAAGGGAAAAAAUCCAAGAAGAAAGGAUUGAACAUGGAAAGAAAGAAUAAAAAGCAGGAACAAAUAAGAAUAAUAAUGAAAUCAAUUACGGAAUUCUUACAAUCAAGAAAUCGAGGUUCUAUUGAAAAUUCGUAGAUUACCUAAAAGGGAUUUGCUGGGAGAAUGAUUUGAACGUUCAGCAGACGCUAAUCAACGAGAACAGAAACCCUGAUUAGUGUUUUAGGGUUAGGGCUUAUAACCAAGUCAAAAUAAAGAAUCCAAACGGUGAGAGGCUGAGAGCUGUUUUGUUUUCCUGGCUUUCCCCCUCUCUUUUAUUUAUUAUUUUUUUUUGGCGAUAAUUUGCGGAGGUUGUUUGGAGCCAGACGCUGAAAGGGCCUUAUAUGAAGGCCCCUUGUAUGUCGCUGUUGAGGAUUCAACUUCUCGACCAGUUUGGGCCAGAUUUAUUUAUUCCCCUUUCGGCCCACGCGGAAACUUCACCCUUGUAUCCCAAGAAAAAAAAAAAAUUUCUCAUCUUUGAAAUCAACAUUGACAGUCAACAUAUUAGACAUCUCACGUCAUUUCUUGUGAAGAACGUUGAAAGCUUGAUGAUCAAGAAAAGUUGGAUGUGAGCAGGCACAUAUUUGUAGUAUUGGUUUGUUGCAUAUAAUUUCACAUGGGUUUUGAAAUCUACCCUGAUGGAGUUAUUUUCUAACUACUUUGUUUUUGUACUUUGUAUUUAAAGAAUCAUACAAAUACAGCCAAAAAAUAGAUUGUCCAUUAGCAUAAUUCAAAACUCAUUUUGUAUAAUUUAUGCCUUCAGCUUCUUCAAAAUCAUGCUAAUUGCCAGUCAUUCUUUGCGACAAAUUCAGAACAUGUAAUUAGGUAAACUCAGCGUAUUUAACCAAAUGCUAUCUCUUCCUUUAAAAUUGUCUUACCAAAUAUGCCAGGUUAAGUCUGAGUCUCAAAAGAUUCAGGCACUAUUUGGAUUGAGGGAAUGGGAGAGGAAUCGAAGAAAUUUGGUUUUUGUUGUUUGGAUUGACUUUUAAGUAGGGAAAGGGUCUAAUAAUUUUGUCGAAAUAUGGUUUUCACUCAAAAAUGGGCGGAAACGAGGGAAAUGAAAAUAAAUUAAUUUCAAUAAUUUUAAAUUUUUUUAAAAAAGAUCAAUUUUGUCUAUAUUUUCUGGUAAUUAAAUACUUGGUCUUUUACUUUCCUUUCUCUUCCUCUUCAAUCCAAACAAAAAAUUAGUAUUUUCUUUCAUUUCCUUCCAUACUUAAUCCAAACAAAAUAGAUGGACAUCACUUUUCUCUACUCUCCUUUCUUUUCUUUUCCAUUAGUAUCCUUUUCUUUCCCUUCCUUUCCGUCAAUCCAAACGGUGCCUUAGAAAUUAUGGGAUUAAUCGAAUUCAGCCUUGGGCAUGCAAGCAAAAAAUACAUCUCCGAGUUGUAUUCAUGUAGCCAAGUAUACAACCUUUGGCCUUCGAUUGACCAAUCCAAGUCCAGCCUUUUAUCCUUGAAGACCAAAAACAAAUAGGAAAAAUUUUUAAAGGAAUAGGAAAUCCUCCGUGCUCCAGUGCAAUAUUCUUAUGAGAAUUGAAAAUGAGAGAGAGCUUGUAUUCUAUAUGCGCAUUAUGUCGACAUGAUCAUGAAUGUUAUUGUUGCAGUAUCGUUGCUCAGCAUCCUGAGAAUGAUGAAAAUCUCACAAAACCCAAUAUUUACAACAAAAGAAUAGCCACAGAACUUUUUUUUAAAAAAAAAAUUUAAACAAAAACAAUGAAAACAUAGAACAGGCCAGACUGAUGAUCGAUCAAAAUCACCCAUUACUACAUAAAAUUCGAGAAUUUAAAAUCGUUCUGAUGCCCGUAUCUGCAAGUGAAAGAUUGGCUUCGAAAGUAUUCCACCUCCUCUUGUUGCCACUUUCCAUCAUCAAAGUUCUUAGAGCAGCUAAAGCUAUCAUAUAUAAUUCAACAGCUCGUGUCUUUCGCUUUCCUUUGCACACGAUGACUUCUUUAGAACUACCUACUCCUUCAGCUGUGGUGGCCUGGAUUAGCCUCUCCAAUAGAUGUUUUAUUGUACUCAGCCUUCCAUUGGCUCCAAAGAAGUUACUGCCAUGAACCAUCUUUCUGGUUCAUGCUAACUUGUUCAAGUGAUUUCUUUUCCAUCGCAAACAGAAUUGUUUCACCAAAAGUUACUUAUACCAUGGUCCUGGAGGCAGUGAAAUAAAAGAAGAUUCCACAUGUUUUUCCCUUAUCACAAUGCAUUAGUGAUUAGCCACCCACCCAGGACUAUUCAUCUCCCUAACCUGGAGUAAAUAGCUUUUUGUAAAAAAGAUGAACCCUAGAAAUCUUCACCAACCACUACUUUCCAUAAUGCCAAAUCCAUAUCUCCAUCCCAACCAUUUUAUAUUUCAUCUGCAUUACUAUUAACAUCAAGGGGUUCAUUCAUACAACAGUUCCCAGAGUUAAGACUUAGGAAUUGAGACAAAUUUAGUACAGCACAAAAUCACAAAUUCACCUCUAGAUAUUCAUAGCAUCUAGCUUCAUUUUAAAGCAACAACUCGGCAGAAUGCACAGAAAUAAGCUUAAAAUGCGAGCAAAAAAGUUAAGGUGGUGCUUAUGUUAUAAGAAAGGUACAUGCCAAAAGCUACAGUGGCGGCGGAGACGGAGUCGCGUAAUAGGCGGAUGGGGACGGUGGUGGAGAGCUUGAAUGCGCUCGCGGGAUCAUCUGAGCUCAUAAUCAAAGCCGCACCGGCUCCGCCUCCCGCGGCUGUGGCCGCCAUCAACAGUUUCGCUCUGGUGCGCCACACCGAUCUCACCGCCAUUUAUUGGCCUUCCUUUUUAAUUUUUUUCCCCUUGUCCCCGCCUUUUGAUUGGCUUCGGGUUUUUAUUUAGAACUCCAAGAAAACGGGGUGGACAGAGGCGAAACUUCCUCUAUUAUCCACAUAUCUUCUGACAGCAGCUGAAGCGGAUAUGAAGACUGUUGACACGCUCUGGGUUUUAGUUUCGGGUGGCUGACUCGUUUGUAACUUGCAUUUCAUUGUUUUCAUAUUUAAAUAUGCAGUUUUACCUUGUUCCACACCUAAAUCUGGAGAUAGAUAUCAACUGUUACGAUUGAUCAAUCUCCAGCUUUUUUAUGAGUUCUUCUAUCACUCUAUUGUUUCAUGAUUUUCCUCGCGCAUGCACUGUUGUGUAUGCACCUAUUAGGCUAUUACCUUGCAUGGUUAGUGCUGUAGAACAGAACAGAAUGGCUAUGUAGGUCAUAGAAGGUACCACACACCAUUAUUGUUUGUGGAGGAUUAUCGUGCACAUGAAUUACAGGAUAGAAAUAUGGGUUAUCUGCACAUGAAUUGCAGGCAGGACUGAAAUAGGAAAGAACACAGCCUUCGCCAGGUUACUUCACAGACCUCUGCAUUUGAUAAAGAGAGAAUAUGGGACAUUUGUAGAUCUUGAAAUCCCCAAGCCUUGUGUGGACGUGUUUAAGUUAUAAUGCCUUUGUCCCGAAUGAGCCACAAGCGGACAUCGUGUUAUAGAAUGACUUGUGUCGAAGAACUGCAAAUUUUCAAGCAUUAACCAAAAUUUUUUUUUUCUUUUCAACUCCUCCCACUCAUUGAUCCAGCUAAGAAUCCAAUCAUGGAUAAGUCGAUCCAAAGCUCUCUCCCGUGUUCCCUUCUCUUUUUUUUUUCCCUUUUUUCUAAUCCAUUUUAAGUUUGUCAAAAUUAGACUGCUAUGCUUUGUUAAGAACAUCAACCACCAGCAGCAGAUCAUUCCUUCCUAGCGCCAUUUCCAGAAACAUAGAAAAGGAACACCCACUGGUUGGACUUAUAUUGCAUUAGGGAGCAAUCAGCCACAGGUAAUUCAAUUAACCAAGAGAAGCAACUUUCCCUGUAGAUGGCAAAAGCUCAUACUUAAGUAGAAGCGGAAGCCCGAGAAGGCCCAAGGCAGACAACAUGUCAGUCAACAAUUAAACGUACAAACCCAGAAUGCUUAAACAAUAAAGAAAACACACACACACACAAACAUGAUGAUUCACCAAGAGGAACAGAGUGGCCAUCACUCAGGACAAGUAAACAAUUUCAAAAUACAGAAUUCCUUUUGCUUAAAAUUGUAGUUGACUCACGAAUACAGUAAUUUACCAGGGGAGACAGCAUAAUCAUUAAAAAAAAAAAAGGAAAAAGAAGAGAGAAAGAAAAAACAUACAAUGUAAGUAAGAACAGGAGCUAUAAUUCCUGUAUAAGAGACACUCAUUGAUACACUCAACUUGGGCAUGCAGCUCAUACAUAGCUGUCAAUCAAUGACUUCCUCAUCUCAUCAACAAUGGCACUAGGUUGAGCUUCUCUUAACUUGAAAACGCUCUCUAUAACAGACAAUUCUGUUGCGGUAGUGUCAGAUCCACAAAAGGCUGUCCAGUCAUUAACUGUCAGGCAAGCAGCGAUUACUUCACUACCACGAUUCGCUGUCCCUGCCACCAGUGGAACCUGUAGGAGCGUAGAGAGUUCAUCUAGGUCCUCUAUGGACGUAUGAGGAUGCACCUGAGCAACAACAGAUUUCAGUGAGAAACAGACACGUGCUCUUAACUCUAACUUCAUAUUUCAUUAGCAUAAAUCACAGAAUGGAGGAGUUUUAUAUUCGUUCUAAUGUUCACUAAGUUCAAGGUGCACUGCUUACCAGGCCACCCCUAUUUGAAAAUGCACAGUAGCUGCCCACCAAAAUAUUUCCAGCAAUUGUCUGUCUAAAAACUUCUACUCCGAGAACAUCUGCAAUCAUCUCCUCAGUUUCCUAUGAGAAGACACAGCACACCAAAAUUACCAGCUUAAUCAAUGAUUAAAAUAAGCUCAUUUUGAUUUAUAAUGAUUAAAAUAAGCUCAUUUUGAUUUAUACGGUAUAUCAUGCCUUACCCUUCCUGAAAAAAGUUAUAACCAGACAAAGAAAAGCUGAAUAAUUAGCAUAACAUUAAUAAGGUAGCUUCCAAGUGAAAUAUCAAAUUGCCAUUGAAGAAGCAAAAUUUGAAACAAGUGCAGAAAGAAUCCAGUUGAAUAUCACCGCAACCUAUUUGAGGCUUUUACCAAGAGGGAAAUGCAUGCAUAUGACAAGAACUGCAGUCAGCAUUGAGAAGCUUCCAUAGACUUCAGAUUUGUCACAUGACAGGCACAGGAUGUGCACGGAUAUAGAUAGACAUAGGGAGGAAGAGUCUAGAUGACACAUGCAAGCGUUUCAAUCAGGUCAAUUGCAUUCCCAGACGGUAUAAGAAUAGGAAAAGCACUGCUUUAUUAGGUAGAGCAAAAUUGCCACUAACUUUUUCACGUAAAAUAUAUGGUAUCCAUAUCAUUAAGCAUGUUAUUAUCAAGGGAAAGGACAAUCUUACCCUGUCGAGAUCGGUGUGUGUAAGUGCAACAUGAUCAUUGCAGGCAAUGCAGUUUCCCAAUGCAGAAAGUCUCUCCUCAAUGCGCUGAACAACAACGGAAUCUGGUAGACUAUUCCUCAAAUGCUGAAGUUCUUUAUCACACAUAAUGUAAAUCAAAGUCAGAACCUUGAAAGUCCAUAACACAUCCACAAGCAAAGGUAGAUAAUUCUCAUACGCACCACAACUCUUUUACGAACAAAUAGUGAUCUUAUGAUGACAUCUAAUACAUCAUCAAUUAAAUCCAACAAAAACAUGGUCAACCAACCCAAGAAGAAGACAAAUGAAAAAGGAAAAGAACAAAGAUUAUACAUUGCACUGUGUAGCUGAAUCUCAAUACUUGAAAGGAAAAUUUCUUGCUUAAAAUUUUAAAGUUAAGAAUCAAAAGAUACACAAUAACUGUACUAGCAACAAUUUCAUAAAGUUGUUACCUUGAUCGGUGGUAGUAUGCGGUAAGAGAAGCCCAUUCUUGUUUCCUAAAUGAAAAAAGGGGGAAAGAAAAGGUUAGGUUAUCCUACCUAAACAGUCAUUCCAAUGGUACUCGUGUCUCUACAAGCAAAAUAACUCUAAGAGCCUUCUAAAGUUCUCACCAGCACAAAGUCUUCCAAUGAUCCUAGUGCCACCAAUUGCGGUCUUCACUACCGGAAUUACAUCAGCCAAUUCUGCCUCAAACGUACUACAAUACACAGUAUAAAGGUUACACACAAGAAAAAAGAUUUGCUGAAGAAAAAGGGAAGAUAAAUUUUAUCAUGUUAGUAGCUUGAAGAGAACCUGUAGAAGUUCUCAGAACCUCCAAUGGCGACCAAGCAAUAAGCAUUGGUCAGCUUAGAAAAAACUCCAACUUCACAUGAAUUCUCAAAUUGCAAUCCUAAAAUUAAAAGCAACGAUAAUAAUUAUGAUAAUAAAGGAACAAUUUUCACGCCAUAAAUCAGCUAAAAUCAAUUCUUUUUUUUAACUCAAUGACUUAUUUGAACUGGAAUACUCACUGGUAGCCAUGAUUCCAAGGAUAGCAAACAAAUAUAAACACCUACUCGAUAUUAGAUCUGAAAAGGGAAAAAAUCCAAGAAGAAAGGAUUGAACAUGGAAAGAAAGAAUAAAAAGCAGGAACAAAUAAGAAUAAUAAUGAAAUCAAUUACGGAAUUCUUACAAUCAAGAAAUCGAGGUUCUAUUGAAAAUUCGUAGAUUACCUAAAAGGGAUUUGCUGGGAGAAUGAUUUGCACGUUGGGCAGACGCUAAUCAAGAACAGAAACCCUGAUUAGGGUUUUAGGGUUAGGGUUUAGGGUUAAUUUCUCAUACCUCCCCUGAGAUUUUUAAUAAUUGCAAAAAGCUCCCCUCAAAUUUUAAAAAUUACACUUACCUCCCCUAUUUUCAUUAUUUAAGUAACAUUCUAGACCCAAAAGGUAUACUUUUUUCCAAAAUUUCUAUAAUACCCUUGAAUUAUAAUUCAUAACAAAAAUGUAAAGGAAAAAAAUGGUUAACAGUCUCUAUUUCAUUUAUCUUUAUUUCCUACCACUAUUACCUACUUAUUAACAUCUAAAUUACAAUUAAAUAAAUACUUAUCUUUGUUCUAAUGUUUCUCUUUUACCUAAAAAUUUUCGAUACAAAUCAUUAUAUCAACUAUAAACGCUAUAUCAUAUACCCAAAAACUUACCCACAAUUUCAUAACAAUAUCAGAUUUUACUUAAUAUACUAUAAUAUUCAUCAAUAUUCCUAAAUUUCAAUCCAUGACUGUCACUUUUUUAAUACAAAAUAAUCUAAACCAUCAUUACUAAUAUCAAUAUCCAAUAUAUUCCAUUGGCACAGAAUUCAAAAUCAAUCAAAUUUUCUCUAUAGGAAUAAUAUCAAUAAUUGUAUAUCAAGAAUAGAAACACAAUGCAGUUAUAAAUACAUAUAUCAAGAACACUUUUUUCUUGAUAACCAUAAUAGUAUAACUUAUAUUUAGUUCUUAUUCCACUUCUUAUCCUUAAUUUUUAUUUUUUAUCACUAUCACUAUCUUCAUCUCCAUCUAUUUUGAUAAUAAAAUUAGCACUCAAUUUGUCAUUUGACAAUUUCAAUUUGCUAAUACCUAUAAAAAAUUGGAAACAAAAAUGGGCGCAAGGAAACUAUUUAUUAAUAAUGAAAAAUCGAGAAUUGAGAAUAGAUACUAAAAUAUAUAAGUAUUGGUGAUUUAGUGUGUAUAGUGAUUUUAUUAGUAGCGACAGUACACAUUUGGUUGAUAAUAAUAGAUAAAUGAAUUUGAAAGAAAAAUAGAUAUAUGAAAAAGAGAAUAGAUAGUUAAAUAGAAAAAAUUGUGAUUUGAAUUAUUGGUUAAUAAUCGAUGAGAGAGUUUUAUUAUUUGAUAGAGUUUUUCAUUUUUCAAUGAGUUAACAAUUAAUAAAUAACAUUAUUGUCUUUUUAUCAUAACAAGGGAGAUCUCUAUAAUUAUGUAAACCUCAAGGGAGUCGAGUGAAAUUGUCGAAAAUCUCAGGGAAGUUUCUAAAAUUGUUCCUAGGGUUUAUAAGCAAUAUCAAAGUAAAGAAUCCAAAUAGUGAGGGCUUUGUGGUUUUCCUGGCUUUCCCCUCACUCUUUUAUUUAUUUAUUUAUUUUUUUUGGAGAUAAUUUGCAGGGGAUAUUUUGAGUCAGACGCUGAAAGGGCCUUAUAUGAAGGCCUCUUUUAUGUCACUGCUAAGGAAUCAACUUCUCGGCCAAUUUGGGCCAGAUUUAUUUAUUCCCCUUUCGGCCCACGUGGAAACUUCAACCUUGUAUCCCAAGAAAAAAAAAUUUCUUUUCUCAUCUUUGAAAUCAAAACAUUCAUUUGAACGUUGAUUAGAUGCUAAUCAACGAGAACAGGAAACUCUGAUUAGGGUUUUAAGGUUAGGGCUUAUAACCAAAAGUUAGGCCUGUCAAUCAGGCCUAAUAAGCCGGACUUUCAUAAGUUCAAAUUCAAUUCAUUAAUUUGAAACAUUUUUGGGUUUUGGAUUAUGAGUUACGGGUUCAUAAAUAUGAAUCUCAUAUUCAGCGCACAUAAUAUUCGGAUUGUGAACCUUAAUCGGGUUUAGCCCAAACUCACUUAUUACUUCUUAAUUUUCUUAAUAUAAUUACUAUAACUAUCAAGUUGUAAAACUAAUUUAACAUUUACAAGACUAUAAUAUUAAAACUAAAUAUGAACAAAUAAUAGUUCUUAAAAAGUAUAUAAACCAAAAAGUUUUCAACAAUAUUUAUAUUUAAUUAGUUCAAAAUGCAUGAAAAAUAGUAAUUAAAGAUGCGAUCAUAAGCCAAUACAUCUUUAAAAGUUAAAACUUUUUUGUUUAUAAUCUUGUGAUUUGAAUCUAAACAUGUUUGAUGAUUUGUGUUUGUAGAUCAAAAAAAAAUCAACCAAUAUUAUACCAACACAAAAAUUUACUCAACCAAUAAGAAAAGUUAGAAAUUCAGUUAUGCAUUACUAAUAUUGACUCCCAAAAAAUCUCAUGGAAGAGUCUUUAUAUGUAUUUUUAUAUUUUGUAAUUUAUAUAUAUUUAGUAUUUAGUAAUAAUAUAUUUGGAUAUAUAAUUAUACAUAAUAUCAAAAUAUAAAUAUUAUAUAUAUAUAGGUAUUUAAAGGGUCGAGCUUAUAUCGGGUUCGAGUCAAUAAGGUUCAAACUUGGCUCAUAUUUAAUUUGAAUCUAAUUUUUAGGAUGAAUUUCAGACCAACUCACUAAAAGGUCGGGUUUAUCGAGCUUUUUGUCUGACCUAACGAGCCAAGUUUGUCAGCCCCAUUGACAGUCCUACCAAAAGUCAAAUUAAAGAAUCCAAAUGGUAAGAGCUUUUUUGUUUUCCUGGCUUUCCCUUCUCUCUUUUAUUUGUUAUUUAUUAUUAUUAUUUUUUGGCAAUAAUUUGCAGGGGAUGUUUUGAGCCAGACGCUGAAAAAGGCCUUAUAUGAAGGCCCUUGUAUGUCUGUUAAGGAUUCAAAUUCUCGGCCAGUUAGGGCCAGAUUUAUUUGUUCCCCUUUCGACCCACGUGGAAACUUCAACCUUGUAUCCCAAGAAAUUUUUUUUUUCUUUUCUCAUAUUUGAAAUCAAUAUUUACAGUCAACAUAUUAAACAUCUCACAUCAUUUCUUGUGAAGAACAUUGAAAACUUGAUGAUCAAGAAAAGUUGGAUGUGAUCAGACACAUAUUCGUAGUAUUGGUUUAUUGCUUAUAAUUUCACAUGGGUUUUGAAAUCUACCCUGAUGGAGUUAUUUUCCAACUGCUUUCUUUUUGUACUUUGUCUUUAAAAGAAUCAUACAAAUACAACCAAUAAAUAGAUCGCCCAUUAGCAUAAUUCAAAACUCAGUUUGUAUAUUUUAUGCCUUCAACUUCUUCAAAAUUAUGUUAGUUGCAAGUCAUUCUUUACGACAAAUUCAGAACAUGUAAUUAGGUAAACUCGGCAUGUUUAACCAAAUCCUAUCUCUUCCUUAAAAUUGUCUAACCAAACAUGCCAAGUCAAAUGUGAGUCUUAAAAGAUUUAGGCACCAUUUGGAUUGAGGGAAUGGGAAAGGAAUCCAAGAGAUUUGUUUUUUAUUGUUUGGAUUGACUUUUAAGGAGGGAAAGGAUCUAAUCAUUUUGUCAAAUUUAUGGUUUUCACCCAGAAAUGGGUGGAAACAAGGAAAACGAAAACAAAUUAAUUUCAAUAUUUUAAUUUUUUUUUAAAAGAUCAUUUUUUGUCUAUCUUUUCUGGUAAUUAAAUACUUGGUCUUGUGAUUUCCUUUCUCUUCCUCUUCAAUCCAAACAAAAAAUUAGUAUUUCCUUUCAUUUCCUUCCAUACUUAAUCCCAACAACAAGAUCGAUGGAGUCCAGCCUUUUAUCCUUGAAGACCAAAAACAAAUAGGAAAAAAUUUUAGAGGUCUAGGAAUUCAUACGUGCUCCACUGCAAUAUUCUUAUGAGAAUUGAAAAUGAGAGAGAGCUUGUAUUCUAUAUAAAAAAAAAUAUAAACAAAAACAAUGAAAACAUAGAACAUGCCAGACUAGUGAUCGACCAAAAUCACCUGUUACUACAUAAAAUUCAAGAAUUUAAAAAUGUUCUGCUGCCCAUAUCUACAAAUGAAAGAUCGGCUUCGAAAGUAUUCCACCUCCUCUUGUUGCCACUUUCCAUGUUAUGGUACAGAAGCCAGAGUGCAGAAAAUGUAAAAGAAAACAAACUUGAUUGUAAUGAUUCGAUGAAUAAUCAAUGAAACAGUGAUUGUAAUGAGCUCAACUUUCAUUAAUGAAUCUGGAAAACAAAUUACAAGAACAGAGGUAAUGAAUUCAGCUAAGAAGGUGGAAGAUUUGAAGGAAAUUUGGGAGGGAAAAAAUGAGGAUUGCACUCAGGUUACUACAACCAAUUCCGGAUGGAAUAAUUCAAAAAUCUCUUAUUACAAUAAAGCAGACAUGUUUGCUUAUAAAGCUAUCAAUUUCUAACAAACUCCUAACUACACCAAUAAGAAUUAAACACGUGGCUCCUAAUACAAUCUAAACACGUGGCCUUCUUUUACUCAGCUCACUCCAUGACAAAGCCUCCCCCUUAAACAAUCCUUGUCCUCAAGGAUGUCGAACAAAGUUCCAGGCUUCCAAACAAAGUCUUCGGAUUGAUAUUUGGCAAUUCGCAGCAAGCAAGUAGUAUAAGAAAAUGGCAAAGCUUGCUGAUUCUUCUGAGUUUGAUAAGUUUGGUGGUCAGCCAGGCCUUGCGGCUCCAAAAUGUUUCCAACCUUUAAAGUUCUAAAUUGCCCAUCACUCCUAAAGCCAGGUCCUGGAAUUAGUUUUAGCUGAGCAACAAUAGCUGAAAUUCUAGAAAUAGCACCACCAACCAUAAAUAAUCUUUUAAGAGCAUCUUGAUCCGGAUAAUGCAAACCAAGGGAUUUCUCUACUGCCUUCAAAAGGUCUUACAAGUUAGCAUAAACACAACCAAGCAAGGUUAGAAGUCCUACUAUUUCUCCUGGAUUUGAAACAGAUAGGAGAAUUCCUAUAUAGCCAUUACAGGCCAAGCUAGCUAGAAAUUGCAGACCAAAGUACCUAUUGGUUCCCUCUUUUAAUUCCAAGAAAUUAGCAAGUACUGAUAUAGCUUUCACUGGUGCAUGUACCUGUAUGAUAUCCCUAUCUUGAAACACUUUUGCUGGUAAUAUGCCGUAAACCAAUGUGUUAUUAUCCUUACUAAAGUCAAUUUGACUACACCAUAACAAAGAUUGGGAAGAUUUCUCAUUAAGAAGUUCACUUUCCCCAACCUCCAUAAUCACAAUUUUACUUUUGUGACCACAUAUAGCAAGAGUAGAAAGUUGCCAAAUGGAAAUGCGGACACCAUAGAUAACUGUUGUACACUUCUCUACUUCUCCUUUCUGUGGACAUAUUCUUUCAAGCAAUUUGAAGCUGCACUCCUGUACAUAUUUCAAUUGUCCAUUGCUGAAGUUUUCAAGCAAGAUAACCUCACCGGGGUUGAACACGAAAAUGAAUGCAUUUGCAUCUUUUUCACCCCAAGUGCAGUGUUUUUCACUAUCCAAAAUGAAGACAGAGAGUAGUACUCAUUCACAGCAACAUUAGGAUUGCAGUCCUUACUUAAUUUAGGCAAUCCUUUGAUCAAGCAAACAAGGUGUUCAACUAUUGCUAUGUAAAAUAUACCUUGCAUCGAAACCACACCAAUUUUAGAGUCAUUACAGUCUUUGUUCAUUGCUAUUUUAGUACUGUCCCCAGGAUCAAAUAUCAAGUCAUCAAGUGGCCUAUUUUGUUGCGAAGGAACAAUAUUGACAGCACCAUCAUGCUUUUGUUCAUCAUUAUUCAUUUUCACAAGUUUAGAUAAUAACAUAGGGUCUGUUUGGAUUAGCUGUUUUUGGGGUUGUUUUUCAAAAACAGCACUGUAGCAUUUCGUUUUUCAAAUACAAGUCCGUUUGGAUUAGUUGUUUUUGGGGUUGUUUUUCAAAAAUUAUAUAAAAAUCUUUUACUGUAGAUGUUUUAUGGAUUAUUUUUAGAUGUAUUUUUAAAACAUAUUUUCGAGUAUUUUUAUAAUUUUAUAACAAUAUAUAAUUAUACAUUUAUAAAUACAUUUAUUAAUAUUUAUAAAUAAAUUUAUUUAAAUAUUUAUAAAUAAAUAUAUUUGUACUUUUAUAAAUAAAUAUAUUCAUAUAUUUAUAUAUAAAUGUAUUAUAUUAUAUAUAAUACAUAAUAUAAAUAUAUUUAUAAAUGUUUAAAUGUAUAUUACUAUAAAUAUAUAAAUUAUAAAUGAAUAUUAUAUAAAUGUAUAUUAUAAUUUAUAAUUUUUAUGUUUUUAUAUUUAUAUACAUUUAUGCAUUUAUAAUACAAUUAUAAAUAUUUAUAAAUAAAUAUAUUUAUAUAUUGAUGAAUAAAUAUAUUUAUAUAUUAUUCUAAAUAAAUAAGUGUAUUAUAUUUAUAAAUAAAUUUAUAUAUUAUAUAUAAAUAAAUAAGUGUAUUAUAUUUAUUUAUUUAUUAUAUAUUAUAUUUAUAAAUAAAUAUAUAAAUGUAUUAUAAGUGUAUUAUAUUAUAUAUAAUACAUAAUAUAAAUAUAUUUGUAAAUGUAUAAAUGUAUAUUAUUAUAAAUGUGUAUAAAUUAUAAAUGAAUAUUAUAUAAAUGUAUAUUAUAAUUUAUAAUUUAUAAUUUUUAUGUUUUUAUAUUUAUAUACAUUUAUGCAUUUAUAAUACAAUUAUAAAUAUUUAUAAAUAAAUAUAUUUAUAUAUUAUGUAUAAAUAAAUAAGUGUAUUAUAUUUAUAAAUAAAUUUAUAUAUUAUAUAUAAAUAAAUUUAUAUAUUAUAUAUAAAUAAAUUUAUAUAUUAUAUAUAAAUAAAUAAGUGUAUUAUAUUUAUUUAUUAUAUAUUAUAUUUAUAAAUAAAUAUAUAAAUUUAUUAUAAGUGUAUUAUAUUAUAUAUAAUACAUAAUAUAAAUAUAUUUAUAAAUAUAUAAAUGUAUAUUAUUAUAAAUGUGUAUAAAUUAUAAAUGAAUAUUAUAUAAAUGUAUAAAUUAAUAUAUUAUAAAUAUAUAUUAAUACUAUGUAUAAAUGUAUUAAUGUAAUAAAUAUAAAUGUAUACAUUUAUUAAUAUUAUGUAUAAAUGUGUAAUUAAUAUUAUGUAUAUUAAUAUAAAUGUAUAAAUGUAUUAUAUUAUAUAUAAUACAUAAUAUAAAUGUAUAUUAUAAAUAUACAUAAAUAUAUAUGUUAUGUUUAAAUGUACAUUUAUAUAAAUGUUCAAUAUAUAAAAUAUAUAUUAUGUAUAUAUUAAAUAUAUAUAAUAUAUAACAUUUAUAUAAAUGUAUAAUAACAUAUCUAUAAUAUAUAUAAUUUAUAUAAUAUAUAAUAUUUAUAUAAAUAUAUAAAAAUAUAUUUUAUAUAAAGUAAAAUAUUUAUAAUAUGUAUAAAUAAAUAUAUUUAAAUUAAUAUAAUAUAUAUAUAUCCUAUACAUAAUUGAAAUAUAUAAGUUGAAAUAAACAUAUUAAAUAUGUAUUUGGAGUUGUUUUUGAUAUAUUGUUUGGAUAUUGGUGUUUUUGAAGUUGUUUUUGAAAUACACAUUUACUGUAGCAUUUGGAUUGUGAAAAACAGUUUUUCAAAAACAGGCCCAAAAACAAGAAUCCAAACGGACCCAUAGAUUUUAGAUAUGAAGAACAGUUUCCAAACCAAUAACCACUACAGGAUAACUGAUUCCAAUUGAUUUUCAUCUCAGUGAACUUUUGCUUUACCUUGCGGCUGACCGAAAACCAAUUUCUGGGACAAUAGAGCGGUGAAGCAGAGUUAAAUAUUUCCUUGUCUAUAGAGCCUUGUUGCCAAGCUAGUUCCCCUAUAAGCAAUUCAUAGCUAAGCCCUUGAGAGAUAACACAAUUGUUGUGAGCCAAUCUAUCAAACACUAGGUUUAUAGCUUUUUCUUCUUGAUAGUCCCUUGCUGAUGUUUUAUGUUGGUUCUCCUCUAAAAAAUUCAUUGGAGUCCUUUGGCACAAUUCAUCAAACAUGUGGCUGACUACACUUUCAUCCUUCAAGUUAGUGAUUAUAUCAUUGUGUUCAGCCUUUAUAACCUCUUUUUUUUUUCAUAAGCUGCUCUCCUUUUGGUAAAUCAAGAGCAAAAUCAUGCUUCUCCAUCACGGCUUCCUCGAUUUUUGCUCGAAAAUAUGCUUCAUACAAGAUCUUGGGUGGAUUCCUAAAUCCCUUUAGCUUCAUCUGGAUAUUCCAAUCAAGCCCAAAGUUAAAACCAUCAAUAAAGUAUUCCUCACUGAGUUCUGGUUUCAAAGCCAACACCUCGUUUCUCCACUCUUCAAAUUCCUCAUAGUACUCUACUACGUUAAUUGUUUGUUUAGGCUUCUUAUACUCCACCAGGAAGUAAUUCAGCAUUUUAGAGAUUUCUUCAAGGGUAUAUAUAUAUAUAUAUAUAUAUAUAUAUAUAUAUAUAUAUAUAUAUAUAUAUAUAUAUAUAUAUAUUGGUUGGUCAGAAAAGAGAUGAAGAUGGAUAGGGAAGAAAGUGAAUCAGAAGUAAAGGAAAAAAUUAGGAGGAAAGAUUUCUAAUCAAGCAGCCAAACCCAGACGGAUCGUAGCUGCUCUGAUACCACUGUUAUGGUACAGAAGCCAGAGUGCAGAAAAUGUAAAAGAAAACAAACUUGAUUGUAAUGAUUCAGUGAAUAAUCAAUGAAACAGUAAUUGUAAUGAGCUCAACUUUCAUUAAUGAAUCUGGAAAACAAAUUACAAGAACAGAGGUAAUGAAUUCAGCUAAGAAUGUGGAAGAUCUGAAAGAAAUUUGGGAGGGAAAAAAUGAGGAUUGUUGCUCAGGUUACUACAACCAAUUCCGGAUGGAAUAAUUCAAAAAUCUCUUAUUACAAUGAAGCAAACAUGUCUACUUAUAAAGCUAUCAAUUUCUAACAAACUCCUAAGUACACCAAUAAGAAUUAAACACGUGGCUCCCAAUACAAUCUAAACACGUGGCCUUCUUUUACUCAGCUCACUCCAUGACAUUCCAUCAUCAAAGUUCUUAGAGCAGCUAAAGCUAUCAUAUAUAAUUCAACAGCUUGUGUCUUUCGCUUUCCUUUGCACUUGAUGGCUUCUUUAGAACUACCUACUCCUUCAGCUGGAUUAUCGCCUCUCCAAUAGAUGUUUUAUUGUACUCAGCCUUCCAUUGGCUCCAAAGAAGUUACUGCCAUGAACCAUCUUUAGAUGAAGUCGUAGCUAUUGCAUUUCGAUUUUGUACCUGUUUUUUGCCUUGCUUUGGCAUAUGCAUAUGAUUAAGCAAAAUUUCCAAGCUACUAAAGCAACAGACAAAAAAGUAACCAACCAACCACAUUUGAUAAAAAACUUCUGCUUCAGGAAGGAUUUGUGUAGUUUGUCAAAAAUGUCUCGAUAACAAGAAGCCCAAAAAAGAUUCUAAAACCAUGUCAGCAUAUAUAUGAUCAAGAAUCUUUUUGACUUGUAAGGUCGCAUUAACCAUUGGCUAUGGUCCAAUAACAUUAUAUUGAUCAGUACUGUAUAAUGGUGACAAGUAGACUGGGCAGUUCAUAUCAAUUUUCUUGGCUGAUUAUUUAUGGCUAUGUUUAGCGUGCUUACAAUUUUCUCUUGGCUGAUUAAUAAUGUUGAACUGGACUGAACUGAACUAAACAUCGCCCUCUUGAUUUCUAAGGCACUCAUGUUUGUCUCCUUUUCUGAGUAGAACUGUUAAUCGAGCCGAGUAUUUGGCUGUCGAGUUCGACUCGAGCGUAAUUCGAGCCGAGCUCGUUAGGAAAACGAGUUUUAAAAUGUGUUCGAACUCGAUUCGUUAAAUGUACAUAUCGAGCUCGAGCUCGACUCGUUUAUCACAAACGAGUCGAGUUUCACGAGCUCGAGUUCGAGUUCGUGCAAAUUAACCUUAAUAAAAAUCUAUAAUUUUUAAUUUUUAUAAUUUUGAUUUCUACAAUGACAAAUAUGCCCUUCAUUAACGAGUUCUAAUGAGCUACUCGAGUAUCAAACGAGCCGAGUGCUCGGCUCGUUAACUAAACGAGCAUGUUUCGAGCUCGAGGUCAACUCGUUAACCAAAAUUAACAAGCCGAGCUCGAGCCUUAACGAGCCGAACUCUAAUGAGUUUUCGAGCUACUCGAUUGACUUAACAGCUCUACUUUUGAGCCUACUUCUGCGCUGUCCUUUCAAUGACAGUUCGUUGAAAAUCACAAGGGUCUCAAUUGCUCAUAAAAGCCAAGACAUCGUUCAAUUAGUUGCCUAUAUGUUAUAAACAUACCACUGGCUAAAAUCGUUCAAUUAGUUGCCUAUAAACAUAUAUACCACUGAUUCCAUGCUAGUAGUUUAUCAGCAUACCAUGUGAUUGUAGCAGCCACUGGAGUUUAGUCCGUGACUACGACAGAACUCUUAGAAUUCUUCUUCUUCUCACUCUGCUAGAUUCAGAGAAAUUCUUGAUUCGACUCUCAAAACUCUCUCUCCCAUAUAUCUAAUGUUUGUAGUUUCCGGUUGAACUAACUUCUCCCCGAACAACUCUCCCACUUAAGAACAGUAAUUAUGGUUAACUGCAGAUGACAGCAUUGUACUCAAAUUUCCAACAUCGGACAUUUGCAGAACAAAGGAAUCUAAUCUGUCACAUCUCAUUUGCCCAAAAAAUCUACCGGUAUCAUAUCUCGUAUUCCAGCCGUAUCGCACUUCUCAUGUUUUUUAUCUUCAACUUUUCGGACAGAUAAUUAUUCAAAAAAAGAAGAAAAAAAAAACUUUUCAAACAGACAAAGGUGGCAAGUAAUAAUAGAAAAAUGCAGUACAUGUACUACUUCCCAAAGCAAUAAACUAAUCAGACAGGUAAUGACUAACUAGUUAGGUUAGGUUACAACCCUUCCCAGUUAAAUCGUCAGAAAACAGUCAAAAGUUGCUCGACUAAUCCUACUCCUAUCUUCAAGCAGAAAAGGGGGCAAUAAACAUACUACUGCAUUAAUCAAGGGAUAACGACAAUUUAUCUUGCCAGCCUGCAAAUCACAAUCGGCAUCAAAGCAUUCGUUUGACAUUAUGGAAAUUAAAAGUUGAAUAACUCAAUCUCAUGAAUCACGACGCCCUCAGAAAGUUGCUCAUUUGGCAGUUGCAUCGAUCUUAAGUACGUUGCUUACUGGUAAAGUCGUCAAUUAAUUAUCUGCCGACGAGACUCACUUGUGGUAUUUGUUUUAGCCUAUGUUUUUACAGUCCGAGGGAAGGGAUCAAUCUCAAUCCUUUUUCCCCUCUCUAAAGUGUCUAGUCAUGCUCCACUGUCCAGUGAUUUUGCCUUCUUGCAGAAGAAAUGUAGUUUGACCACUGAAGAUUAUCAUGAUUUGGUUAACCUUACACACACACACACACACACACACACAAAAAAGCAAUUGGCUUUUUCACAUUUCUAUUAAAAGUGAGUGUUUAUCAAGGAAUUAUUGAUGCAACUAUUGUUUUGUUUUUUUUUUUUUUCUUUGCUUCCUUCACGUUGUCUUCUUUAUUUGGAAGCGCAGCCUUAAGACAAUCGCCCAGAUUUUAAUAUGACUGCUGCAAAAUAAUUUUGGCAUAUUUAAAAGUUAUGAAAUUAAAAAUACAAAUAAAUUUAAUAUAAUUUUUGAAAACUAUGCUACAUUUGUAAACUUGUUUGUAUGUAUGAGAUGCUAAAUUUAUCAAAAUUUUAUCACACUAUUACUUAAAUAUGUAUAAAUCUACAUUUGUUAUGAUACAUAUUGCUCUUAUUUUAUAUAUAAUUUCAAAAGCACGUCAUUAUCCUUAAAUUUUAAAACUUUUUGAAAAAUUGAAGCAUAAUCUGUGAAAUUUAUAAAGUUUAUUACGUUUUAUAUAUGAUUAAUUGAAAGGUACAUAUAGUUUUUAAAUAUACGAAAUGUGAAAUUUUUUUUAAAUGAUACGCACAAAUAUGUAUAUAUUAUACGGAUAUAAUACAGCUAUGUCAUAGACGACCGCUCUCCUCAGGUCGAAGCCUCGUUAGGAAACUGUGGGCGGCUGGGUCCCAUGGUACGAUUUGACCACUAAACCGCCUGACGAAGAAUCACAAACACAAACCUCCGCAACCCAAGAAGCCGCCUUUCAAAUUAUAACCCAAAGCCGACACCCGAAUUUCUCUGCUGUUGGCUACCCUUGAGUUGAUCCAUAAAGGACUAGUCGCCAGAAAGGCUUAGGGUCAGAAAGCUACUAUUCUGUGAGGGAAAAUUAAUUUUUUUAAAAUAAAAUAAAAAAAAAGUCAACUCCUUAUAAACACGAUCCUAUCCAGUUUGAAGUUCAGAAGGAAGAAAAGCUCAGGACCAUGGUUUAUGAGCUGACUCAAGCAAAACUCUUAAUCCAAGGUAACCAAGAUCCAUCCGGAUUAGACGUACCAAUUAGCAAAAGGUCCAAUUAUCCUAAUCAAGGUUGAUGUUUUGACCAAAUUUAUAAAAUAAAAUAAAAUAAAAAAAUGCCCGGAGAUAAAUUACACACACGUAUGUUUCAGCCGGAAAUGAAAGAAAUAAACUACUACAUGUAAACCUCAUACUGCAUUAAUUUUAAUUUUGGGGAAGCUGAAUACUUCUUUCUCCCCAUCUUUGCCGGUAGAUAGUACAUCUCUCUCACUUUUGGUCAGGAAUGUAAAAAGUUACAAGUAAAUGAAAGAGGAAACAAGUAACAAAGAAUUUGGAAAGAGGGUUGAAAAAAAAAUCGUGGAUCAAAGCCAUAUCUGAAGACAGGAUGAUUUUGUUUAGUAGCAUUAUGGAAAACCAGCCAUCAUGUCACAACCCAAUCACAGCUUGAUUGACCUGUAUAACAAACAACAAUAGCAUGUGAGGCUUCCCCGUCAGCACCCAACAUUUAUAUAUAGUUGUUAAUGCAGCCAACAUGUUUUGAUACUCAUGCUCCACAUAGCAUCAACUUCUUAUCUUCUUUCCCCUCAUUCUACAUUUUAUCAAUUGUUCAAAACAGAUUUUUAAGGAAUCAUGUUCAAUCACCAAAAAAUUGCUCCUAAAUUUGAUAUCUAAGGUGCCCGGAAAUUUUUAUUUUCUUUAAAAAAAUCCCGCCCGGGAGCUACUGCAUGGAAUCUAAUAUCAGCAACAUUUUCCUUUUUUUAAGGAGAUUAAGAGGUAAAAUAAUUUUGACGAAGGAGAUUACCAUACCAAGACAUACCAUGCUGCUGCGCAUUAGGCUUUUACAUAAUCCAUACCGUUGCGCUUGCGUUUGUUAGACCUUGAAAAGAAACAUAUCUGAGCCCAAGAUUUCUUCUGCUUGACUGGUUGCGGCUUAGCAUCCCUCUUCGCAACAAGGUCAACCAUGUACUGAACGACAGCCUAGACAGAAUAAAGUCUAGGUUAGUCACAUUACAAACUGCAGAGAGUACAACAGAAGUGAAAACUAAGACCUACCUGAGCACCCUGGUCAAUAACAUUUUUUGCUGGCACUUCUAGAGGAUUUCCUUCAACAUUCAAGACGCGUAACCGAGAUAACAUCCUAAAAGAGUCUGGAAGGAUCCUUAUCUGGUUAUUGCUCAUAUCUAACUCUUCAAGAAGUUCUAGAUUGCCAAUGGACCUCGGAAGAUACCGUAGAUCUGCAAAAUUGUUGCUUAUGUUCAUUUUCACUAGUGUAGUAGCAAAGCAUAGGCUCUCAGGCACAGCUUCAAGCUCAUUGAAGCUAACAUCAAGCUCCCGCAAGCUCAAAAGGGAUGCCAUUGUAGUUGGCAAUUGUCUUAUGUUAUUAUAUCGUACAGCCAGAACCUCAAGGGAUUCAAUUCGGCCCACAGCUUCUGGAAGCGCUUUAAGCCUGUUAUAGUCUGCCCGGAGCUCUUUGAGCGAAGAACACUGUCCGAUAGUAUGAGGAAUCUCCUCGAUAUCAUUAGUUUCAACAUUCAAAGUCUUCAGGCUGACAAGGGAACCUAUCGUAUCAGGAAGCGCUGAGAGUGAAUUGGAGCUGAGAUUAACCUCUUGAAGGCGGACCAAUCUAGCAAAUUUAGCUGGCAGCGAUCUUAACUGAUUUCCACUCACGUUCAGAGACACCAAGUUAAGCAGAUCUCCAAUAGAUUCUGGCAAUUCAAUUAUCCUAUUUGAAUGCAAAUCCAACUUUUGCAAUGAGGACAGGCCUCCUAUGGUGUCUGGUAAAGCAACGAUUCGGUUCUGUGACAAAUCCAAGGUGAUCAAACUCGAUAGCUUCCCCAAGGAAUCAGGAAGCCAUUCUACUUGGUCCAUCAACUUCCCCUGAAGAUUAAGUUCCCGAGUUCCUUUCUUUGAUGAUACUUCAAUUAAGCUAGCAAGCUUUAUCAAACUGAGUUUUUCACCCUCUUGACCUACAUGAAACAACCCAGUCACUUCUACAUCAAAAUAUUAUCUUUAAAGCAUCAAAAACACUAGAACACGCCCAAAAAAAAAAAAAAGAGAAAGAAAGUAAUCACAAAUCCCCAAACCCUUCCCCUGAAAGUGAAUAAACAGAAAAGCUUCGACGUAAAAAACAUAAAUGGCCUGCUCGGACAAAGUAAAUCUCAUUGCAGAAAACAAAUUAAGACGUACCAACAUUAAUAACCGGCUUUAGAGUUGAGUCAACUAUCUGGGGUGUGGUCGAAAAUUCCCCAGAUCGCCGUCCAACCCUCAAUCCCUCCACAUGAAACGUGCCCUUCGCCUUCUUCAGAUAACUAUCAUCUUUACUAAACAAUUCAGAAGCCUUCACAAUAUCCUUCUCAUUAUAAAACGUUGACAACGACGACGACGUCGUGGCAGUGCUCGUAUUCGUCGUGGUAGUGGCCGGAGAGUUAAUACUAUUCCCGGAAAACGAUGCUGAAGUCGACAAGGACAUACUGCUCGAAUCCCUCGAAUAACUCGUGGAAUACGAUAACGACUCAUUAUUAGCAUUGGAUUGAGAAGAACCCGACGGAGACAAGCAUUUAGAAGCUCUCUGAAUCAAAUCAUCGAACACGCAGUGGACGUGUUCGAGAUCCAACAGCUUAACAGCCUCCCUCUGCUGUUCCUUGCUCUGAAAAUAAACCAUAUUCUUCUGCAUCUCCUGCAAUAUCUUGAACAAUUCAUCUGGGACAUUUUUAGCUUUAAUUUGCCUGGAAAUUGCUUCAAUCCUGGCUUGAUCUUCCUUCUCAACGUUUCUAAUGAGCGUUUUAGCAGCUUCCACUUCCUCAAUCGUUGGCCUUGUAGGCAAAGAUCUAUGCAUUCUCAUGAUCUCCGCCACGACUUCUUCAAUUGACAUAGCUGGUUUCUCCAUUUUUUUUCUUAUAAUAUCCCUUCCUAUAUUUUCCCAAGCCAAAACAAAAGCACCAUGGUUAGAACUAAAUGAAACGAAACAAACCCCGUAAUAUCAAAAUCAAAUAGUCAGCCCCCACAGCCCACAGGACUGAAGUUUCCUCAUCUCAAAAAACGGAAACAAAAUUGGAUUUUGCUUUCAGUUUUCUUCUAGAAAACUAUUCAACGUUGACAAAACCGGAAAAAAAAAAAAAAGGAUCGCCCCGCAAAAACCCCACAAAUAACAAAACCAAAAGGAACCCGUUUGCAGCUAUACAUAAACUACUUCAGAUAACACGCAGAACAUUUCCAAAACCCAUCCAUUUAAGGAAAAAAAAAGGGAAUAGAAAUAGAAAUUACCCACCACUGAGCUUGAAUUUGAUGACACAACAACACAAUGUUGAAUGAAGUUGCUCUGUUUCUCAGGCUAAUCUUUUACAACAUGGAAUCUGAAUCAGAGAAAAAGAAGAACACGAACUUAAGGGCUUGUUUUGGUCAAUGAAAGAAAGAAGAACAAGAAGUAUAUUCAUCUGCACAAUGGGUUUAUCACAGCUACAGUUUUCUGAUGAUGUAUCUUCCGCAUUGCAUUGUAUAGCUGUUUUAAUUUUUUUUUUUUUUUUGUAUAGGGUUUUAUAUUGGGACAAAUCUAUUUAUACAAUAAAAAAUAUUCCCACAGCUUUUACUUUACUAUUGCAAUUCUGUAAUUGCGCAAGGAUUUCUCACCGUCUCUCUUUUUUUUCACUUUUUCUUCUUGGUGGUAAAUGAUUUUUUGAGGAGUGAGGUGCUAUAAAUAGUGGGGGAAGAGACGCGCUGAAAUGGGAAAACGACUGAUCGGUUAUCAAAGUAAGAAAUGAUCUGCAUUUCUGUGUUCCGGCAAAAUUGGUUUGUCUUAUAUGGGUGGUUGUUUUUCAUUCUUGCGUUCCGAAAAUGCCCUCUGGAAUUACAGGUAAUGACGUAACUGCCGCAGCAUUUUUCUAGGAUGCUCGGACAGCUCUGACCUUUUCUGCGGCAAAAUAUUUUGCUUUUGUUGGGGCUUCUAUUUAUUAUUUUUGACAGAAGAUGGCUGCUACUUUUUAUUGGAGUGACGUCAGCGAUCCAUAUUUUUUUUUUCCCCCCAAUGUCUGGAUAAUCAGUUUAGUCAUUCCCUUGAACUGUGCCCUCUCUUUUUGGAAAAGUAUUUUUAAUCAUUAUAAAUGUUUAAAUUGUUGUGGUUAUUCCUCUCGAUCUAUUUAAGUACCUUUUUUUUUUUUGUCGAAACUCAUCGGAAAAAGCCACUAAAAACAGUCACAUAUAAUAAUAAUUUGGUGAGAGAUAAGGAUUGAACCGUUAACCUCUCAACACCGCCAAGACUUGAGUGCUUGGCAGAGACCACCAAAGCCAAAGGGUUGGCGGCCUAUUUAAGUACUUGCUACUUGUGAAAGAAGUUUAAAAAUGUAAUAUAAACAUUUUAACUUCCUUUCUAUAUUUAAACCCGUUUGAAUUGCUAUUUUUCGGAGCUUAUUUUUUUGGAGAAGAUGUAUCAUUUUGAUUUAAUGUGUGUGAGAUAAAAAAAAAUGUGAUUAGAAUAUGUGUUUAUGAAAAACUUUUCCGUAAAAAACAGUAAUCCAAACAAGAUAGAGUCUACUUUCAAAAUGUUGAUGCGUAAAGAGCAUGCAUGCAUCAUUUCGGAAUUAAAAAUAGAAUUUCAGAUAUUGCUGGAACAACUAAUGAGGUAAUAAUAAAAGAUUCAUAGCUCUAUGAAAACCCAACAAAAUAAAAAUAAAAUACUAGUAUAGGGAAAAAAAAAAAUCUUCACACAAGAAGAACUAUUAGGACAAGUUCAUGGUAAAAGGGCAAAAAAAAAAAUCUUGGUAUAAGUUAGAGAAACUAGAAAGAAAGAUAAAGUUCAAGACUAUGGACUGUGGCGCACGCUGUUGGCUUUUGUUUUCAGUUUUCAGCACUUGAUUGAUUACGAGAUUCUGCUAGUAAUUUCUCCACAUUUGUGUGGAAACUGUGCGAUAAUAACAGCUUACUUAGUAUAUGCUAAUGAAGAUUCCUCUUUUUUUUUUUUUAAAUCAUUAUAAUUGAGCAUUGAUUCAUUAGCUGAUUCAUUAAUCAAUUUUGGAAGUCCUUUUGACAGUUGUGACUGGGGGGCGUACAUGAUCUUAUCUAUCCUUUUAGGGUCCUUUUUCCCUUUGGCCUUUUCUCUUUGGCCAUUGCAGGCAAAAGUCCGCAAAGUUGCCGGACAAAUGUCAUCCCACGAAUCACUCGCUCCACAACAUUAUUUAUUACUAUGUUACUUCUUUAAAUCAGCACAUCUGUUAGCACUAAUUAGCAAUCCAUGCAUCAAAUCAAACGUUAAAAAUCUGCAUUCAAUAAAGUCAUUGUAUUAUUGUUGUGGAUGAGUCUCUUUUUUUGCUUUCCUAAUAAUUAGUGGCCAAUGUCAUAUGCCAAAUACAGGUAGAAAGUCAUGCAGCUUUUCGUGUGGGUCCGGGACGGUAUCCAAUACUGGAUCAAAAUGGGCUUGCAAAGGAGUACCUGCCAUCCUAAAAAAUAGCUUUUCUUUUUGUUUUAUAUAUAUAUACAUGAAAAUCUUAUAUCUACAAUACAUUUCAUUUUUUCAGAAAAAAAAAAAAAGAGAGCUUGCUGGUAUAAUCCUGUAUUCCAAAAUCCUCUAAAAUCACUUAAAUGUUGGGCACAAAGAUAACAAUAUAAAAGAAAACAAAUCAUUUACUAAUUAAUUUUUUUAAUGCUGUUCAAUAACCAUUAUUAUCAACACAUCUAAAUUUUACUGAACCUAUUAUGUAUAUACACGUACUGUACAUUUAUAUAUUUUUUCUAUUUAUUUUUGUCUACAUUUUUUUUGUAUUUAUUUAAUUUUUCUAACUAAUCUUGUAUUUAGAAAAAUAUAGCACUUGAAGUAUAUGCCAGUCAAACGCUCUGAUGGGCCGUCUGCUAAUUACUUGCUUAACAUACCGUAAGAUACUUAGCUUCAUUAACUUCACUUCUCUUUCGUUCUUAUUAAAUGAUCCCAUAUCUCCAUAGAUUAUACUAAAUUUGAAGUGGUUAGAGUAUUGGUCAUGUAAUUUUCAACAUCUGGAAAUAAUUUACUUGCUUCGUUAAAAAAAAAAAAAUUUCCCCUUUUCAAGGCCUUUCUUGAACAUAUUUAUAACAAUUCAACUGCAAUUCAACUCACAACGCUAGUCAUUGACUUUCAUUUGCUUUUGUGCCAUUCUAAUCUUACAUUUAAAAAAAAAAAGGGUAAUUUCAUCAACACAUCAUUGAAAAAUGAAACAGCACGAGCAUUGACAUGAUCUUGUAACUAUUUAUGUGACCUUGUUUAGCAUUUCAUUGUAAUUUUGGUUCCAUUAAUAAUCUCUUAGUGGAUAAUACGAGGGCAGAAACGUCAUUACAGCCACGAUAAGAGCAGGUAAAUUUAGGUGCGAGGUGAGGUCAUCAUUUUUUUUUUUUUUCCCCGGUUCGGGAUUCACCAGCCCAUCAUAUGAAUCGCCAGGCUCUACUGCAUCCAGUAAUAAAUGAAGCCCAGAUGUCCAUGUUGGUUUGAUGGACACGUGUUGGAAUCAGGUUGUACAGAACGCCACGUCCAACCAUUUCCAGCUGGCACUGCAACUCACGCGAUAACCGUUGCUCUGCGAACCCUUUUACGUUCUGUGGGGCCCCACCACAUCCACGAGAUGGAAUGGAGGGGAGCUGUUAUUGCCUGUAGACGACCUCACCCGCCAUCCUGUGAGCUGUCCCUGCGUGAUUGAGAUUUGAGAGAGACCCAUGCCCCACCGUGAAUGGGCCCCCUCAGCUGAGUCUCUACGGUGGAAUCUGAUUGUCGGCCCGAAAAUUGGGCCAAGGAUUAAGCCUGGGUCGCUGAGCUACCAGCUUGCUAACAUGGCCUGUUACAUGAUUACUGUAUUUUGUUUGAAUGGACCAAUAUGAAAUAAUAUCGAAUAUUUUUUCAUCUUACCAAGUAAAUAAAUAUUUAUUUAUUUAUUGGUUAGAUGGAGGCUAUAAAAACCAAAAUCUAUGAAGAAAUAACUCGACGAUGAGUCAAUCCCAUAUAAUCCGAGCCCAAAUUUCGUCAGGAGGAUCCGAUGAUGAUUUGAGUCGGGAUGGCAUGCUCAAACUCAUCUACGCUAGAACAUCGGCACAAGAAUUUCCUUCUCUCAAAAAGUGAUUUAGUGCAUAUUUCCAAUCACAACUAAGACCAUCAAUUCAGCACUUAAAUUUUAAAGGAAUCAGAUAUUAAUAUAUUCAAACCGUUUGAUAAUCACAAAUCGAAUAUCUGAAUUAAUUAAGUGGCACUGAAUAUUUUAAACAAAACAUACUCUUAAAAUUAAGUGAUAAAUUAUUCACUUAUCACUGAAUGUAAUAUACAAUCAAAUAUAUUAGCUUAAAUACUUAAUAAUUCAAUUAAUUUAAUGAAUUCAAACUUCAAAUUUUAAAUUUCAAACUUUAAUUUUCAGAUUUCAGUUUUAUCCAAGGCACCCUUAAGUAACUCAAGAAUACUUCAGAAAAUCUUUUGACGCUUCUCCAAUCUUUUCAUUUGCCUCUGGACGUUGAUUAAAGUCUAGGAAAGUUCUUUUUUUGUGUUUUAAUUGAGGGAUACUGGUUAGUGGUCUAGCCCACAGUCAUCAGCCUAGCCUGAUGGCUUUUAGGUCUAGUUCAGUACAACUGGACCUAUUUGGUCUGUGGAUUAGGGGGUGGGCACGGGUCGGGUAUCCGCCCGUAACAUGAUUUGGCUGACCCGACCAUAAUAUAUCGGAUCAACCAUUUUGCGACCCUAACCCGCUCCUAAUAUUUUCGGGUACCUGAAUAGCGGGUACUCGAAAAAAAAGGGGCGGGUCAUAGAGUAUCCGCCCCUAAAAAAAACUAAUUUUCAAUAAAAAAUUUUAUUUUCUACUUAAUAUCAACAUGUUUUUCAAUAAAAAAAACAUGCUUUUCCAAUUAAUAUUGGUAGAGAUAUUGUAAUUAAAGUCCAUACAUCACCAUUCUCACACAUUUCAUCCAAUAAUCAAAUCGAUCUCAUAAAUUUAGUACAUAUUAGAAUAUCUAAUAGACAAAACGAAGUUUCAUAAUAAUUUUGAGUACAUCACCAUUUUCACACAUUUCAUACUUCUACAACACAACAAACACAAGGAUAAUAAAUAUUUGGUAACUUCCCCAAGGAUAAUAUGGUACAAGACCGCAUCUCAAAUAAGUCAAUUGUGAACUCAAGUUCGGAAAAGAAUUGAAUAGUACUAAUUAUUUUUGAAAAAAAUAUAACCAAAAAUAAUGUUAAAAAUCUUCCCCAACUUCUUUACAUCUUUGGAAUAGACCUUAUGGUAUUAAGGUGAUGAAAAAGAAAAAUAAAUUUCUUACACUAAAUAAAAGAGACAAAUUAAAGAGAUAUAAUUGCAAAUGAAUAACACAAAUAUUUUAAUUAUCUAGCUAACAGAAAAUUGAAACUCCAAACAAAAAUCUUUGAUUGAAUUGAUGCAAGAUUUGCAGGAAAGAUCGAUGGAGGUAGAAUAAAAAUAAAAAAGAUGAAAAGGAUGAACAAUUUUUAUAACAGAGUUUCACAAAUUUUUUUUUUUCAUUUUGUUCAUGUUUCACCGAAAAUAUUCGCUUUCUUCAAAAAAUAUGAGAAGAGUAGAUCAUAUAGGAUUAUAAUAUGAGGUUGCAAGCCACUUCACUUGCACUUAGAAUUAAAAAUUACAAAAUUAUAAAAUGAUCCAUACUUUUUUAAUAUUUAUAAAAUAUACCCUACGGAUCGGGUACCCGCGGGUUUUUAUUUUUCUGAUCCGUAUCCGUACCCGAUUAUUCGGGUACCCGACCCUCAUCUGCCCCGCUAAGAAAAAUCGGAUCGGGUAUCCUAUUUUUCGAAUCGGAUCGGAUCCGGUUCAUCGAAUUUUCGGAUCGGCGGAUUUUUUUGCCCACCCCUACUGUGGAUAACUGUCCCAGAUGCUGUGUCGCUGGGAGGAUGGGCUGGAACGGUUGUCCCAGAAGGUUCACGAUCAUAAUUAGGUCAAAAAAAUUUAUACGGUUCAAAUCACUCCUUGUAAUUCGAUUUUCACGUCGUGUGGGAUCCAUAAAAAUAUUAUUCUAAUGUUACUCACUGUUGUUUUAUUGUUACAUCUUGUACUGAUGAUGUUACACCGUGUGUAAAUAGUGUUACAACUUUCGAAACGGUUGCUUUGACAACCGCUCCAGCCUCGGAUCCGUUUUGUGGAAUCUCGGUAACAUCAAUUGGGACUUGACUGACUAAAUGCGAACUGUGAGUUGCCUUCUGUUUUGGCAUCUUUCUUUAUUUAGCGUAUGCAAGACAAACAAGUGCAGAGCGACAAAAGGGUUAAAAUUAUUAUUAUUAUUAUUUUUUAACCAUCAUCCUUAAUCUGCCUAGUGAGGCUACAAUCAAUCCAUAUGCGGACUCCAUUAUUUGUUAGUGGUACAAAAAAAGAAUAUGCGGACUCCAUUAUUUGUUUUACGUACUUUAAUUUUAUUUAAACUUUAUUGUGCGCAUAAUUUGAUGGAUAAUUUUGAUACAUUCAACUUGCUCUACGCCGAUUCCUUAAUAAAUAAAUAAGGACACGGGUAAACUGAAGCCGAAAGGCAAAAACCUGAAGACUUGUCAAGCUCUGCCAUAUUUUUGUUGGACGGUUUUAUCCCCAGUUGGUUGCCUUUCAAAAUACCUGUAACAUAUUCUGAACUUUUUCAAUACUACAAACUCUUACACUUUUUCGCUCCAAAGAACCCGCAAAAAAAAAAAAAAAAAAAUUUAUUAAUCAUUAUGCUUUAGCUUCCUAUCUCAAAAUCCCAAAUAAAACAAAAAAAAACUUGUAAUUUAUUUGGUUAUCUUCACACUGGAAAGGUUUCAAAAAAAAAAUUUUCCUGUCCUAAAGUAUAUUAUUCAUCUCUGUCCAAAAAUUUAAGUAAUUUUUAUAAAAUAGUCACAAAUAUAUUCUUUAACAUAAAUUUUAAUCAUUCUUUUAUUUUAUGUGCAUCAAAUCGUUAUUACACAUAGUGAGUGUGUUUGCAUCAUAAUUUAUUUAAAAUAAUUAUUGUAACACUUUUUAUAAUGUGACAUGAAAAGAUAAUUGAAAAAAUAAAAAAGUAUAUUAAAAUUUGUUAAAUAAAUUAUUUUUUCUCAAAUCAUCCCAAUCAAAAACACAGUGGGUAUGUUUGGACAAAUAAUUUGAAGUAAAAUAAUUUACUUCACAAAUUUUAAUCACUUUUUUUAUCUUCUUAAUCACAUUUUUAUCUCAUAUACAUCACGUAUCACGUGACAAACAUGCUACAGUAAUUAUCUCAAACAAACUCCCUCUAUUUCCUUUAUCUCCUUCUCUUCUCUUUAUCUAAAUGGGCAUAGUCACAGCUCCACGAACCGCUACAGAUGAAGUUCAGCAAGUCCAGUACAACUUUUAAAAGGACAGUUUAACCUUCUAUUCUACCGCUUUGACUACCAGCAGAUGACAACUUGGGUGAAGGGCAUAAUUAUCAACUCACUUCAACAAAGCCCUAAGCUAUAUAACCUCCACCGCGCCUCUCCGGUUCCCUCCUUCGCAGCCAUAUUACUUUCAAAUUCCCGGCCGCCAUCCGUCAAUUCCGCUGCCGCCGUCAUCUCUCUCCGAGAAAUCCAACCGUAAGGAUUAGCAACCUCAAUACUUAAAUUUGAACGAGAGAAUUUUGAUAUUUAGCUGAGCGAUACAAAUUUUGUGAAUAAUUAGGGCAGUGUUUUUCUUGACUCAAUUUUAUCUUCAUGUUGCAGGAGUGAAAUUUGAUAGUGUUUUGUUCUUUUAAGUGUAAAAAAUCGAACUUUGAUAGGAAAAGAGAAUGGGUGUCGAAUUAGCAGCUGAGCAAGCUAGGAGCUAUGGAGACUUAAAGGAUGAUGUUAAUAUCACGGACUCGGAGUUGGAUAAGAGUGUCAGAAAUGCUCUCAAACAUGCUCUUGAGGUACAAUGAUUCCCAAAAUUUCACUUAAUUUUUUACUUUUUUGCCUCUUUCUAUCUUUUUUUUUCCUACCGCUUAGUGCAUUUAUAGAUUAAUUGAUAUUUAGUUAUUGUGUUGGGAAGUGUUGAUUUAUGAUUAAAUAGCUUUUCUUUUGAAUUACAAUAUAAACCAGUUUAGUGGAAUACAAGUAAAUGGGAAAAGUUUUCUCUUUUCCCUGAUUUUUCAAACUUCAGUGAGAUUGUGGUAAUUCAGUGUGAGAAAGUGUUUUAACAUUCAUUUUGUGCCAUAGGGUGAUUAUGACAGCUAUAACCAUCUUGUUGGGACGAUGCAUCAUAGUGAACGCUUACACCCUGACGAGGUGGCUCUACUUGAGGUAUGUGUUUGUUUGAAACCCAUUGUUAUACUAUGGCUUGGGGUAAUUUCAGAGCUUGCGUCCUCCUAAUUUGCAUUUUCGUUGUGAUUUUUGAAUGCCAGACGUGCUUGAAAUCUUUAAGGGGGGCAGUUUCUUGUAUAGAUGUUGUUCACCACCGAUCUCUUCUUGCAGCUGUAAGUUAAUUAAUAUGCAUGCCUAUGUUCGUUUGCUUCUUUUAAGAAUGUUUAAGAAAUAUAUUUUUGCAUUUCUCAAGAGGAAAUUGUCUUCAGAUCUUUGGAAUGAGCUUGUGGAACUACGACACUCAUGUCAUGGAUGCUUUGGUUGGACUAGUUACAUCCUUGGUAUAAGAAAUUGUCUUAUCAUUGUUUUGGUAUGGCGGAACAUGUACUCAAAGAGCCUAGCAAUGAGAACAUGUCUCCAGUACUUGGUCUUAUUUGGACACUUUGAGCUGACCACUGUAUAAUGUUAUUGUAGGCUGCAUCAAGUCCACAAUAUGUUGAUUUGUGCUUGGAUAUGCUAGUGAGCAAUUUUCUGCCUCCUUAUUCUUUCUUGGAGUUACUGAAGCAGCCGCGUGGCAUUAUAAGAAAGGAUCAAGUACUUGAUCGUGUGCACUCAACUUUGAAAGAUAUAGCCCAUUUAGUUCCUCUUUCCCCUUUGAGACUAGAAAAAGUUGUGAGGGAAAGAAUGCCCAAUAUAUAUACAAAAGAACCUGUGAGUUUAAGUUCACUCACAUUUCCUGUUUGUGUGUGUGUUUCAGUGUGUCUUUGUGUGUUGUGGUCUGUUUAUCUCUUGUAUUGAAAGUUUAUUCUUCUAAUGGUUCCUGGGAAUGUGAACAGUAAUUUACAAGCCUUUCUCUGCACUAUUUGUUCUUUGAUGUCGUUGACACUUGUAGUAUUAUGGCUAUAGAUGCCGCCAUUUGCUUAAUGUGCUUCUACAGUCAUGUGGAAUGGCUUCAGGCCAAGAUGCAUUUUCCCACUAACAUGAUGGUAAUGUUCCUUUAGGUGCUGGCAAAAUAUGCCCAAUCAAGUUACAUUUUGAUGUUGACAUUGAAGGCAUCUGUUCAGGACGAUCUUUCAUUGGAAAAAGGGCUUGAAGUUUGAUUUUCCCAGAAUAUAUUCUAAUUUGCUCUGUGAAGAACAUGAUAUAUGAGCAUUUGAUUACGAUAGUCAAGUUUAUAUCUUAAUUAUCUUUUUCGUGGUUGGAUCUUUGUAGUCCCAUAUGUUAGGGGUUGAAACCCUGAUUUCCUCUCCUCAUUCAAAAGAACCAAUAAAUUUGAAAUUCCAUCUUGUAUUAUUGUCUAAAUAUUUGUGAGGUUUCUAUAUCUAUGCAUUGUUUUCCCUUUUUUUUUUUUCUUUUUCGUUUCUUCCUUAAUGAACUGUUUUUUGGAAGAUGCAUGCUUAAAGAAGGAUUCUUCUUUAAUAUAUGACACAUUUUGACGAUUAUAAAUUGAGACACUAUUUUUUUCUGUUAAUAGACUGCUGUUCUAUUUCCAUAGAUUGUUUUUUAUUUUUGUGUUCAAUUGUGGUCUUCUAGGUUGCACUUAUUCUUGUUAUUUCUAUGCUGUGUUCACAUUCUUUUGUUUCUUGCAGUUGAUCGUGAUGUAUGUUGAGAACAUGUUAAGAUUGGAGAGUGGUGUAAUAGGUGAACUUGUUGGGAGCACAAUGCUUAUGGCAGUCGUAGAUAGGCUAAUUGAUUUGGAUGUGAGUUUUUUUUUUUAUCUGCAUCAAAGGUAAACAAGUGAUGAGAGAGUGUCUCUUAAGUUUUUAUUUUAUUUGGGUUCCUUAUAGGUGGAGAUAGCUUGGGAUGACAUUUUGCAAGAUGAUUUCAGCAAGGGCAUUUUCCAGAUGGAGCUAGAAGGUCUUGAGGGGCCUGCAGAUGAUGAUGGUGAUGAGGUGCUUUAGACUGCUUAUUGUUUCUGUUGCUUUUUUUUUUUCCCAAUGCUGUGCUUUAUAAAUGUUCUCUGUUGUAGGAUAGUGUCCCCCACCCCCCCACCCCCCCCCCCCCCCAAAACACCAAAACCACCACCACCAAAAGAAAAAAAAAGGAGAAGUGUAACUUUUGGGUAAUGACUUGUACAGAUUUUUCCCAUGCUUGUCUUCUUUGAAGCUGCAAUUAUGGAUUGAUCAGUUUCGUAGUUCAUCAAAUUUAGUAUUGGAUUGGUUAGACACGGGGAUGGCAACAGGACGGUGGACCCCUGACCCCACUCCACAGAUGUCCUUUCCGCCCACCCUCCGGGAAUCACACUUUUUUCAAGCACACAGCAUUAAACUACACCAAUAGCCCGCAGCAACAAGCGAAGAUCACUGCAGUGCUCAAAACCCAAAAGUUACAUUUAUACCUACUAUUAGUGCCUUUGCCUCCUUUUCAUCUCUCUGGGGCUUGAUUUUCACUGAAAAAAUGGUUGCUGAUGAAGAUUCUUUGCCUCUUCAUUUUGCUGGGCCUUGAUUUUCACUCUGAAAAUUGGUUGCUAAUGAAGAUUGGGACGAGGGGAUGGUGAUGAUGGAUGAGUCCUCAAGUCUUGAGGCUAAAGAUCUAAACGAGAGGGAGUUUGAAUCAUUGAGAUGUGUGAGAGGGAGGAGAGGCGGCAGAGAGUAAGAGGGAGAAGCGGCACGGAGAGUGAAAUUGUGAGAGGGAGUUGCAGCCAAGAAAAUAAAAAGGAGGAAGAAUAGACUAGAACAUCAGGUCAAGAGUUUUAAUUUGACUAAAACUAAUUUAUAAUGAUAUUUAUUUAUAUUAAUUAUAUCAUGUGGGGGAUGGGAGGGUCCCCGCACCGCUGUUGCCAUCCCUACUUAGACAUAUCUUGAAAGAUCACCUGGCAGUUGUGCAAUUGAUGCAUUGACUCUUGCUAUUCAGUUUCUUUCGAGAUCAAGCUUAUUUGAAGCAAGCUAAAGCAUUAUUUUUCAUUUUCAUCUGUCUAAUUGUAUUUCCUCUUUAGCAAAAUAUUCUUUAAGAUUUCAGUGCCAAAUUAAUGCCUUUCAGGGAAAUAGUUACAGGUUUUUACAAGCCUUUCUAUAUUUUACCUUGUGCCAGUAGUUGGUGAUGAGUGUCGUCCGUCUUUGUUCCUUUAACAAGGACUUUUUUUGAAGUAAUGAGUAAGAUAAAAAUAUUUAUAGGUAGCACAAAAAUGUUCAGUGGAUUCAACUGUAGUGUCUUCUUGUAAUAGAAAUAUAUAAAUAUUUGGCAAUGUUUCAAAUCAAGAGAAACGAUUGUGAUAUGGACAAUCAGUUGUGUAGAGGUGUCAAAAAAUUGGGAAAAUCUUUGGGGAAAUACUUAUUGGAGUAUCCAGUGGCACCAGAAAAUCCAAAAUAUUUCAGAAUCGCAGUUUUGAGUGAUUAGAUAUCUUCAAGUUCUCCUCCAUCUGACAAAGAACAAAAGUUUGAAAAUCCAUUUUGAUUUCUUUUUCCUCACGUUUUAAGUUACUAGGCAUGCUAUUCUGGAGUUAUAGGAUUAAUUUUUCUAGAUUGGCUUCUUUCAGUUACUUUUUUGCUACUUUAACAAAAUUGCUACUUCCAGCUUCAAAGGAACGAUUGGAUAGAAAGGUUUUUUGGCGGAAACCUGGUUGCUGAAAAGCUGGAUAGCUUGUUAGUCCUCGUAUUUGGACACCUUAAAUCCUCGUAUGAAAAUGGCCGUUUGGAGCAAGUAAGUUUUCUGUUAGGCUCGCUUUAUUAGGUGUUGUCUGUAUGGUUUUCUUGAUUUUUCAAUGUUUGCCAAAUGGUUUAGGUUUUUGACACACUCCUCCAGUCAUUUCACAAAACAGUCUUGACAGCAUACAAAUCAAAAUUUGCCCAGGUAUUUUUCUUCUGUUAGUCAUAUUGGUGAAGAAUUUCAACCAUAGCUUGAGUAUCUUUUUUUUGUUCAUAUUUAUUCUUUUUAUUCUACUUUCCCAGUUUGGUUAUGAAUGUUCUCAGCUUUGUUGAAUAAGAUUUUCAGCCAUUUGUUACCAUAUGCCCACUAAACCGUAUCAUAUUUUGCAGUUUGUGAUGUUCUAUGCGUGUUCGUUAGAUCCUGAUAAUUGCGGAACAAACUUUGCAGUUACCCUUGUAAAUAUAUUUGAGGGCAGUUCUUACACGGAAUGGAGGUAGAAUUAAUAGUUUGUUCUUUGUAUUCUUUUGUAAUAUGAAUAUGUUCAUGGUUCGAGUUGGAAUCUGUGAAAUACACUUUCAUGUGGAGGAAGUCAGUGCAUUUGUUUAAUUUUAUAUUGAUAUGAUCUGUCAAUAAUUUUCUUUUUGGGACAUUCCCUAGCAAUUUCAGUUUGGUUUAUUUAUUUGUCUACACGUUACUUGUGAAGGUUCUGAAAACUUUUCCUUGAUUUUAUUGCAGAAUGAGCGCUGUUGCGUAUCUUGCCAGUUACUUGUCUCGUGCAAAGUUUGUCUCUGCCUCUUUUGUUAUCAGUGUCUUGGAAAGGUUGUUAAAACAGCUACAUGCUCGUCAAAUAAUUUCUAGCAUUGGAUGCACUUGUUUGCCGUUCUUUUCAAUUACUUUUUCAAGAAGGACGAUCAUAAUAGGAAAGAUUUACAAGCUAUUUUGUUCUUUUAGUUUUUAUUAUAUAUAUUCUUUUUGUGUUGUUUCAGACUUGUAAAUUGGUGUUCUGAUUACUGCAAGAAUCAUCAUGGUGACAGCAAUCCCAAAGCUCAUCAAGUUUUUUAUGCUGGUUGUCAGGUUUGUAGUGUUGAGCUUCCAGAAUUAAAGAGUAAUUACUGCCAAUGUUUCUUGGUGUCUCAUGGUUUCAGAAAGGGACUUAGGAUGUUAUUAAGUGAAGAAUCUUUCAGAAUUCUUGGAGAACAAAAUGACAAUGGAGCUUUGAUAAUUUGAUAUGUUGAGUCACUAGUUGGCAUUCAUAGGUGACCUAACAAUAUAAAUAAAUAUCUUAGUCUAGAGUCCAAAAUUUUCUUUUCACAUCCAUGCAAUUUUUUUGGGUAUAAUUUUCUGCUUGUGAUUGAGUACAAGGGGAAAGGACUUCCAUUAUGCUUAUACAUCAUGUUCUGAUUGGCAAUGUAGGAUCAUAUGAGUUCAAUGUUAUUGUUUAUACCAACUUUGAAGCAUGGGGUAAAACAAAAAAAAAAGAAGCUCCAAGCAUCACCUAUGACAUGGUCUGGUUAUGGGCCCAUUUUGCUUUUACUUAAUUAAUGCAUUUAUCAUCUUUAAAGAAACAAAGUUGAUAGUGUGCUUUUCUGGCUUUCAUUUUAAUUGGGUAGAGUUCUAUCUGUUCACAUCACUGAUGGUACUGCAGGCCAUUAUGUAUGUCCUUUGCUUCCGUAUGAGAUCAAUAGUGGCUAUCCCUCGACUCAGAUCACAACUAUUUCUUCUGCGGAUAGAUGAUAUUUUGAGGCAUCCGCUUAACCCAUUGAAGGUGAAACGCUUGAAUUUAACUUUCAACAAAGACUCGUACUAUUUAUGAAUUUCAUUGGCUCUCUCUACCCCCUCCCAUGUUUUGUUUGUCAGCUCCAACAUCAUUGAUUCGUUGUAGUAAAUUAUCAGUCCUCGGCUACCCUUUGUUAACAGGUUUGUCUGCCAUCAAUAGUUGAAGAGUUUCUUCGGGUGGCCAAAUCGUCUCAUUUGUUUAAUGUGCCUCAGAACUUUGUUUCUGAUGGCCUACUGGAAUCAGAACUUUCGAUGACCUUUGGUGGUUUAGAAAGGCUCGACAUGUUUUUCCCAUUUGAUCCAUGUUUGCUGAAGAAAUCUGAUAGGUUUGUCUUUCUUUUAUUGAUACUUCGAAGUUCCACCUAUAUCAUUUGUUAGUUUUAUGACUACAAAUUAUUUGUUCAUGUAUUGUAUGCUUUUCUUAGAAAGAUAUCCUAUAUUACAUUAAAAUAUUCGAUUCCUCAAACGUUAACUGUUCUUGCUGCCGCCUCAUUUUAUUGAAGAUUUAUCCGGCCAAACUUUGUGUACUGGUCGAUGGUCAGAAGUACUUACGAAGAAGAAGAUGAUGAUGAUGAUGAUGAUGACGAUGAAGAAGGGAACAGUGAUGAAGAUGUUGCUGAAGUUAGCAAUGCUAGUAAUCGGGUGAGAAUGGUUGAUGAUGUUGGUAGGAGUAUUGAUGAGGAAGAUUCUGAUAUUGAUGAAGAUUUUGAGUAUUCUCUAAACAGAAUGUCUAUAACGCCUAAAAAUCCAACCGCCUUUUGGUUAGGAGGUAAAUUAAGGGACAGUGUGCAGAUGCCCUCCAGAAUCAGACCGUCUACAAGUCCAGAGUCCUUGUGAUACCCUGUUUUGCUUGCUCAAGAAUCUUGAGGUCAUAAUAGCGGAAGAAUACAAUGAUAUCAAUUUUGCUAGAGGCGUGACUGCGCUUCACUUGGCCAGCCGGGAUCCGCCUUUUGUUGCUGUAUACAUCCUUGUACCCACCACCGCCCAAGGGAUCAGCCAGUGUGGGAACAUGUGGCUGGCUUACUGAGGUUUCUGUAGCCAUUACAGAAAUUGAUUGUAAUUUAGCGGUCUAUUUACUAGUAUAAGAAAUUGAUUGUAAUGUCGUGAAAUGUACUUGGAAAAAAAUCACCAUUAAUUAAUUAAUCGUAAUAUCGGCCGUCGGCCAAAAAUUUACGACUUUUAAGGCAAUAGGUUGGGCGGGGUAUUUCAUUCUCAGUUUACGCUGGUCUGGCAAUGAAAUUCCUUUUUGGCUUGAAGAAUGCAAUCUUGUGGCGAAAAUGAAGGCCUAGUUUGGGAUUGCGAUUUUUUGUCGAAAAAUUACGUCAUUUUUCUUGAUCACAUUUUACUAUUAUUUUUUUCCCUUAUAUACAACAAAUCGAUACAGUAAUUUUUUCAUGAAAAAUUAUGAAAAAUACAAUCUAAACACAACCGAAAUUUUCCUUCUGAACUAAGAAACUCUGAAGCAUGGUAAACGUACGGAUGCACCGUGCGGGAAGAUUUUGCUUUGUUUUUCUUUUCACCGUUCCUGAGUGAGAGUUAGAAAUCAUCCUUCAUGGCAACAGAGACCUGAAAAGCUGGUGAUAGAGAUAAUCGGUGGACUCCUGACAAUAUAUGAUUUGGUCGGUAAUGCACAACAAAGACAUGUAAAAGUAGUGUUUUUAUAACACAUCUGCCUGAAAAAUUACAAGGAAGCUGCUUGUUUGACGUAUUUCUAACCUCGCAUAUCAUGCGAUAUAAAGUCAUUUUAUGACAAUAUGUGAUUCUGGCGCUCAAAAAAAGCAAAAAGGAAACAAAACAAAAAAAAAAGUGAUUUUGGCUACUUUGCUAUGAAAGGAAGAGUAUCGAGGAACCAUAUCCACGUCAACCGCCUGGUAAUGGCUGUAACACACCAUAUACAAUGAACAUUUGAGUAUUUUAGCAUCAGGGACCAUGACCAAAUCUACCGCCUGGUAAGGGCAGCAACACCAUUUAUAACCAAGAGUGACCAUUCAAUUUGCUUCGUUCUCCAGUAAUAUACGAUAGUAUUUGCAAAGGAUUCAGCUAUAGGAUCUACAACUAACCUGUAAAAGCAACAGAAUAUCAACUUGGCCUGCUGGGGGCUUCGACCAUGCAAAAUUUUUUUUUGGGGUGUAAAGUGGGAGGUCUUGCACUCAGAACUCCCUCCUCAUACCACCCGACCCCAUCCCUCCCCUGGAUUAUGUAUGCAAGGUACCUGUACAAUUACAGAAGCAUAAAUUCUAUAUGUGAUUCGGGUUCUUUUUGCAACUCCUCGGAAGUCCCUUUCUUCUUUUGACAGACGAUUUAUAAUCUCCUUCCCAGCUCUGACUUGAAUUAUCACUGCCGCCUGAACGCAACACAUGCCAGUUAGCACAAUAAACCAAAGAAUAGACAUCAAGAGGACAACCGGAGCCUAAAUGCCUUCAACCUCAAUUUAUGGUCAAUCCUGAUUGUUAUAAUUCGUUUAAAACAGUAACCUUACUUAGGCAAGUUUUUUCCUUUGGAAAAAAAGUCAAAAGAGUCAUAAUCCAAAAUUCAGUUCUCCUUAAGCCAAUAAUUCCUUCUCUAUUCUACUAAAACCUAAUGAAAUUUGGGUAAAGACAUCAACUUAUGGGCUCAUUCUCUCACGCUGGACUUCCUGCAUGCCUCUUCCAGCGCUCAGACUACCAAUGUUAGGCAAAACAAGCCCUCCACAAUUUGUGUGCUCCCAGAAACCUUCAUUAAGUUAAAUCUCCAUAAAUUUUUUACAAAAAUCUACUGUAAAUUUACUUUGCACAAGAAGAGCUAUUUUCCGUGUUUGCAGAUGUGCUAUAGAAAGUUUUUUUCUCUGUGAAUCACAUAUUUAUUAAUUAUCAGUUUUUGUAACCUCCACAACAAAAAUCAUGGCCUCGCCAAAUUUAAUAAAUCAUGGUAGUGCGCUCUUCACAGUCUAUCCUGUAAAAUUCACAAUUACUCCAUAAGCACAACAGUACAACUAUAUAUAUGAUCAGGAACUACGGAUUUACUAGGGAAUUUGUCAAGACUUACUUUCGGGGCUUUCCUUGGAUGAUCUGUCUUUGUUCUCCAAAUCCUUGGUGCAAUUGUAUCCAGAUCGCUUAGUAGAUAUUGUCACUACUCCAUCUUCCACCUUCUCUUCAGGCACGCUGCAGCUUCCAUUGAAAGGCUUCAUAUAACAAAACCUAUAAAAGUGGUUCCAUGAUACAAGAAACAAGUCACUUGAAUGCAUUGCAUUCUUUCAUACAUUACCUCCUCUAUCUCCAUUCAAAUCUAUAUUAACAGUUAUGCGAACUGAGCAUGAAGAAGCUUUGGAUUAUGAAUGCUAGAAACAAAGUACCAUUUAAGGCUUUUGUUCUAUCACAUUCAGGUAUAUUGAUAUGUCACAAGCCCAAUAAUCAUCUGAAAAUAAUCCAACAGACGCCUCUAGACUAGAGUGCAAAAACUGAUGUUAAUUCCAAAUGUGCCAGAAGCAUAAGUACCAGUCAGGGGGCAAUGUCUUGCUAUUGAACCCAGCACUUAACCUUCUCCACUUUCUGCAUUUGUCACAUUGCACCCAUUCGUGAUCAGGUUUGUGCAGGGGACCACCCUUUUCCUGUAAAAAGGAACAUAACCCUUUUCAAAACAGGCAAUAUGGGUAAGAAAAUACAUUCAUGCACCUGGAUCACAUGGAGAGAAGCUUUGAUUGAUUGAACUAUGUUCAUGAGAACUUGAAUGUUCUAAAUGGGCAGCUAGAUUGCUUAUUAAAGAACAUGAGCAAUCACUUUUUCCUUUUUGAAAAGGAAAAGAGCUUCAUGUGUAUGAAAUAUAUUCUCAUAUCAGUUAUCAAUGGAAAAUAUAAAUUUUUAGAGAUGUCUACAUAAUGAAGCCAAGAAAAAAUACAGCUACAAUGUCCAGUUAAGAUUACCAGUCGGUGUCUGACAGUCAAACUAAAGCAGGUAUUUUACUGAAAAAGGAAAGAUUAAAAAGGAAAUUAACUAAAAAAAAAUAAAAGGCAAGCAAAAAGAUAAAAAUUGCAAUCAUUUCUCACUGUGUCACAAACUAACUCUCUCUCUCUCUCUCACACACACACAUGCACAGGUUAUCUGUGAAAAAAUCUACCCUCAUAUCAAAACUUUUACUAUGAAAUUCAGAAUUUUAAAAGUUAAUUGGCUCCUCAAAGCAACUAUAAGUGUUUAAAGUUUCAUUCUCCUCCGACAACUUAGUAUCUUUUACAAAAGUAUUAAUGCCUUGAGAGAGCAUAAAUUAGUCCAUCUGUCAUUUAUUUUGCAAUAACUAGGUCAUGCACUAGAACCUUCCAGUGAACAUACAUACAUGCAACUUACUUUAUGUCUGUCCCUAUUUAUCACUCAACAAAAGCACCAUCUGAGUUGUAAACAACAUGCAUUGCAUCCAAAGGAUCAGCUAAUAAGUCAUGAGUCACGACAUUACCACUUGCAGUUUAUUGACAUAUUUGUCCAAGUAGUCAUCUGUUUUUAUAGCCAACCAUUUCUCCAGUUCUGCAUAAGCUUCACAGUCCUGGAAUCCUUGCUUGUUAUUGUGCACCCAAAUAUGACCAUUAUCAUCCUUCUGCAUCAAGGAAGUAGAUGGGUCAUAGAAUAAAUAAACCAUUUCGUUGUAUAUGUUAUGAGAUUUGGCUCAGAGAAUAUGCAGAGCUAGCUGAGGGACAAAUGCUUUUGACCAGGCUCCCAUUUGUUGGACAGAAAAUACUCCCACGAAGACACAAUUCAAUUACUGUUGAAUCAAGCACCAAAACAUUGCCAUGCAGAAUAUUUUCCUAAGAGGGCCAUUUUUGGGAAAACUGAAAAACAAUAGCAGUUCACCAAUGCAGUCAAAGACAUUUAAGUCAGUUGCAGUACCCGGAAGUUUUGUUUCUAAUUUUGCCAGCAGACCACCUAGCAUUCUCGCUCAUAUAUCACAGGAAACUAUUGGGAAGAUAGAGUUUGUUGAUAUCAAAAAAUUGUGUUUCCAGAAAAAGAAACCUCUUCAACUGUUGGCCAUUCCAAACUUCAGCAUACAGUGCCUAAUUUCACCUUACAUAAGGAAGACUCUGCCAUAUCCCACUUGUUAACUUGAUACGACCAUUGAACACUAAGACCUUAAACAAACAGGUUUGAUCACAAACAGGAAUAUAAAGAAAGCAAAAAGUAUUUAACUUCACAAAAAUAUUCUUUACAAUAUAAAUUAAAUAAGCCAAUAAAAUAGUCUGUUGGAGGCUUAGAGCACAACCAGCUCAGCAAUAUAGAAAAGAGAUGUCCUUGACACAAGCAAAAGGCUUCUUCUCUUCUAUUAGCUGCUAACACACAACCCCCAAACAAUUUCUGCACUCUACCAAUCCAUGUCUCAGUUGUAACUAGCCACAUCAUAAAGAGCUUAUGGAAUUAGAGUAACCAAUUUGCAUUUCUUUAUACCUUCAUCUGUUCCUUUCCAGCCAGUAAUCACCACCACAGGCAUCAAAAUAAUUGCAAAGACAACUGCUUGUCUAUCUAUUCAUGUUUUUGACAUGAACAUUGUUAGAGCCUACAUAACAGAAAAAUUACUAACAUGGUACAUAUACUUAUUUCUAUUGGGAAGGACAAGCUCAAGGAAAAUAAAUUUUCAGAUAUCAGGCACAGGAUCUACUACAUCAAUUUGGAUGAGAAAUAAACACAGCCACAUAUGCUAAAACACCGGAGUUUUAAGUAUAAAGUGUUUGUAAAGGAAAAUUUGUUGGUGUACAAAAGAGUAUGGUAAAUUAACUCAUUAUGGACAUGUCAAUUACUGCUGCUUUGAAACCAUUUCAUAAGAAACAUUGCCUUGGGAUUCUAGGUGUGCGCACAUAAAUAUCAGCAAGUAUCCAGGCUUUUAGAACUCUUCAAGUAUUUAUCUCACUAUAUUUCUCCCUUUUCGUUUUGAAAUUGGAGGAUGAUCCUACUUGAACUCAUAAAAUUGACCAGUAUAAGUAUCUAUACCAAGAAGGAUGCAUGAAAGCACCAAAGCCUAGUUAGAGCUUGCAGCUCCUUCUAGGAUGCGCAAGAGUGAUUGACUUCUCUCACUAGUAGGACAAAAACCAAGGUAUAUCUACCGCUUUAUCUCCAGGAAAAACAAACCCAAAAAAAGAAGCUGCUAUCAAGAAUAUUCCCGCCCCCCAAAAAAAAGGAGUACAGAAAAACCCAAUCUCAUGUCCAAGCCUUACAAAAGAGCCACCGACAUAUUCUAAUUCUACCAACUAACAAUACUUAAGGAUGAUUUGCAGUGACUGAAAAAGGCCAAUGCCCUUAGUAUUCAUCUCUGCAGGAAAGUAAUCCAAAAAUCAGUUCCAAAAACACACACAUGCUGACAAAUUGAAAACAUAAGAAUGGAAUCUGUACCAUUAAAUCAGUCAGAUCGACAACCCCAAUAAUGCCCCGACCAGCAUCGCCAUUAUGAAUCAUGCUACCAACUCUUUUGUAAGCCUGUAAGAUAAAGAACCAAAACAAAUGGAAAGAUCAAGACAAGGCUGAUCAAAUGCUUAAAAAGAAUUCUAAGGGAAAAAAGCAUAUGUUUGAAAAGGAUAAUUUUGAAAAGCAAGCUUCCAGAUGGGAAAAGGGUCUGAUCUACGAUAAUUAUCUCAUGCAUUAAAGUUUCAAAACCAGGAAGGCUCAAAAUUUGUUUGGUAGCCAUCAAACUGGAAAUUGAACAAUCUCAGUUAACCAUUUCUAAGAACUAAGUACCAUUUAAAAAAGUGCAUAGAAACUAGAUGUAGUUAAUAAGUCAACACACUGAUGCUAAUCCACCAGCAAAGUUUAUACAUUAGUGUUCAGACUAAUAAUUCCAGGCACUUCACUCAAAGAAAGUGUUAAAAUCACAGUCACAUACAUCAAAAGGUUGACAUCCAGUAAACACUCCCCCCAAAAAAAAAAAUGGUCCAGAUCCAGGACAAAGAUAAUCUCCCUCUACCCCCUAUUUUAAAGCUAUUGACUCAAAAACUAAAACCUAUUUACCAUGGACAUGCUAAUAUUUCAAGCUUGGCGCUUUUGGAGGAUAAAAAGACCCAGAAGGCGGUAAAGUAAUUCCGUCAUCAAGUUCUUGUCAUUCAACCAUAGUGUUCUAUUUCAAGUCAUUCCUUCAAGUUUAAGAUGUUAUGUAAGACAGAAUACAGCAAGUUAGCCACUAACUAGUUUUAGGAGCAUUUUUGUAACCACACAGAGAACCAAAAAUGAGAUGAAGGAUUAAAAAUAGUAAAGGAGAAAUAACUUAAAAGCACUAUUAAUUUCUUCCAUCCAGUCCAUAGACACCCCCGUCCCAGAAGGCCCCUUUCUGCUCCUAUCAAAUUGAAAAGACAAAUUUUUUGGAAAUGAUCACCGAAGAAUUAUUAAUGUUAAGUUUCUGUAGGAUUCUGCAUAGACUUUCAUCCAGCCAGCAGUUCUCUAACAAUGCCAUAUCAAUCAGUUGGAGUUCUAUAGAUAUUAAGUGUAGCAAAUCCUGAUAUAGCUCUGUAUCAUUGUUCUCCAGACAUUUUGGGCAAUUCUUCCAUCCACUAAACUUUGCCAAAUUAAGGAGUCAAACAAUCGCAAAAAACAAGCCUCCAUGAUGACAUGGGAGCUCUUCUACUUAGAAAGAGUCAAUAGUCUUGAAUAAGUCUUGACAAAGGGAAGAAAUUAUCAUCUGCAUACAGAUACAAACUGCACUCCAGUGCUAUUUAUAGCAUGAAUUAUACAACUAGAAAUGAUCCUUAUGUGGUCAAUUAUAUCUUAGAAGCUAACAGCAAUCUGCAACCCAUCACCCUACAAGGAUGUUUAAUGAUAGAAACUUCAAACUCCUACAUGACCAAUAUUGUCUAAGAUCAAGUAAAAGGAUGGCCAGUGAAUGUUUGUCAACUCAAUGUCUUGCAAGACUAAGCUUACUCUAUAAAUAUAAAAAUAAGAAACCAACCUCAAUCAGACGCCCAUGCCAAUACAAGAAAAUUCCACAAUUUGCCUGCUCCCAUUCCAGUUGACAGCGGCCAAGAAUCAGCCGAACUGGUUUUCCCAUAAUAACACCCUCAUUUACUACAGUUUUAUGCAGUGACUUGGCUAAAGGACGAGUUCUAAUCUAUUAAAAGAAUCAAAUUACAGAAAUUAAUAUCCUAAAGCAGCAUGAAAAAAGCACUUAAUGACAAAUCAAGUAACUCUAUAAAUAAAGUUACUACAAGUGCUCCUUGGACAUAGAUCUUCAUUCGUGGAUCAAAGAAGAUGACUUCCAGAUAAGAUUUUAGAGAAUAAUCCAAAGGCACCUGAAGCACAAGGAAACCACAAACUUUGUUAACAAAAUUGGUUAAUGCCACACAAGAAACAUAAAGAAUAUGCCUUACUGUUUCAGACAUUUGGCCUGGGCGAGAUCUGACACGUUUAGAAUGAAUAAGGAUGUCACCUUGAUGGAAUGAACUCCCGCCAAUCAUUCCAGUUUCCAAACACAAGCUAUAAUCUGAUCCCCACUGAUCUAAAUUCCAAAUGUAUAUUUGUGUUCCAGUACCUCUUUCACUAAAGAGACCAGCCUUUUCUCCUAUUAGAUACUUAUUAAAUGGAGAAAACUCUCUAAUUGCUUUCAGAUUGUUUUUUGCAGAAGCCUCAUUUUGGACAUUGGAAUCAAUUUCCAUAAAUUGACCGACUCUGUGGUAGCUGACAAUGGGGAUCUCCAAAUUCUAUGACACAAGACAGAGUGAUAUAUCAGCGUUAAACUCCAAGAUCACAACAAAAAACCAACCAAGUAAACCAUGAUAUAAUCAACUGCAUACAUCCUUUCCAUCAUUUAGUGACUGGGAUAGAAAAGCAACCGAACGAGAGCUCGCAGCCUGAGUAAGAACCAAAGCAUCCUUCCCAAUUCUCAUUGCCCCAGUCUGGACCAAAGUGAAAAAAUGUAUUCCAUGUCCAAUAAGGAAAAGUUAAGAAUCAGAACAAGCAUGCAACACUGAUUCUAGACAGAAGAUAUUUGAAAUAUGACAGCUGUUCAUUAGCUUCAGAGGAUAUAUACAACAUGUAAAGCUACGAGACAUCAGGAUAGAAAAAAAGAUGAAUACUACCAGCAUAUCAGUUUCAUCAAAGGAAAGGAGAAUAUAUUCAAAUGUUAAAACUUUGGCAACCCAUGUUGUGGAAACAAAAACUGUAUUUCUUCUACAAGCAGAUCUGUUUUUCUUUCUUUUUCUGAAAAUUAGUUUACAAGCUUGAGCUACAUAAGUUCAUUACCAGCAUUAGUCUUGCAAAUAAAUGAGUUGAUAUUUCCAUGUUAGAACAAGCUCAUUCGCCAGAUAAGAAGUCAAAAGAUCAUGUUUAUUUGGAAAGGGAAAGAAAAUGUUGGAUGCUUCCAUUGUUUACACAAAUAAAUUUAGAAUGAGAACCUCAGAGAGAGAGAGAGAGACUGCAGGCGAUAAGCCUAAGAAACUUGACACAGCUUGAGAAGUAAUCCUUCAAAUGCGAAGCCUCCAACUUAGUAAAGAACAAAGAGGCAGAAAGUAGAUACAAUGUAAUAAACAGAGGUUGGCAAAAGAACACCUCACAUUUUCUAUAUAUAUAUAUAGAGAGAGACACAUACACACCCUAAAAAGCAUUACAUUAGUGAAAAAAAAAAAAGUAUAUGACAAUUUGUAAUUAAUUCAACCCAAAGAAAAUCAAUAUUUCGCUUGUAUAUCUGAUGAAAAAGUCUUUGAACAGCAUAGUGUUCAAGUCUUCAAAAAUGGGAGAAGGUAAGCUUAAAACACAUAAUGAAUAUACUACUAAUGAGUAAAAAUGAUCUCAUUGAACCCCCAAAACUUCCAUACUAACUUAACUAACUUUACUAUGACAAUGAAUAGGGAUGUUCCAGCACUAAUCCCGUAGAAACAUGGCAGUUUCUUCAUAAAUAGAAUUUCCUUAAGUGCAUUGCAAGGCCACAAACCAUGGUUGUCUGGUAUGUUGUUUACAAUCAAGUUAGGGAAGAAAAAGGGACAAAACAGCAAUUCCCUGAACCCCAGCUUGUCUGAUGAACACAGUAAAUUACAAAAGAUUUUACAUCCCUCCUAUGAUCACUGAUGGAAAAUAUAAAUAUGGGCUUAAAUGAACAAUUUAGCCACAAUAUAAAAAAACAGGAGACAAAAAAAGAGCCAAAAAAUCAGUAGCAAUUUCAUACUUGUGCAAUAUGUAUAGCUCAUUAUCAGCUUUGUCUCUGGAAGAAAAGAUUCACACGUCCUCUAGAUACUUUUGUUCACCAAGACUGCAUAUGAAAGUAGCUCUUAAUUAAGAAAUGGUUUCAAAAGCAUACCUUAAAACCAAUCCCAAAUCUGCCAAUAUGAUCAGGAUCAUCAGCCUCAGGUUGCUUAUGCCCAAAAGAAAUCAUUCUCACAAUCUCCUGAUGAGUCAUCCCAUGGCCAUCAUCUAUUAUUGACAGCAUUGGAAUGUCUUUGCCGGCUGGUUUGUAAUACACCAUUUCCAUAGAAAUUUGCAAUCUAUAGCCACAUGAGACAAGAACAAGAAGUCUUAUCAGCAUAACAACAGACUGAAAUAUCUAUACAUCACAACAGGAUAAAUCUAAAGUUACGACAAAAUACAAGAGAAAGAUUUCCUGUACAAUAAGAAAAUAAAUUACAAUAGAACAAGUUACCGACUUGGUUGCUUUGGCAUCUCUGGAAUUGUCAACAAACUCAGCAAUUGCACCAAAAAUCCAGCUGGAAUGAACUUGACCAAGGGUUUUCAAAUAACUGGGAUCUACUUGCACAUAAUUUCUACCCAAGGAACCAUGGGGAUCCACUACAUUUUCAGGUUUACUGCUAACUUUAACCUUAUAUUGAGCUUGGCAUCCAUCAGCAUCCGAAAGCUUAUUCUCGGGAGAUAUACUAUCCUCAAUACAGUUAGAGAUUGAUACAGCAUCCUCACCCAACGAAGAUUCAAAUCUACUUUGCAUGCAACCUUUUGCUGAUUGCACAACUCUAUGUGGUUUAGCAUUCAAAAGAAUAUUUUUUUGCUCGGACAAGAUCCCAGCUGCAAUUAUGUGAAUCCAAGCACAAUAAACAAAACUAGCUUAAUUACAUUUCAAAAGAUCACUUAAGCAGGCAAGAGAAGAACAAAGCACAUCAAAGAUAAUUUCAGCAUGCUGCUUGCCCCAAGAACAAACAGCAAUCAGAUAAUUGCAGCACAAAAAUAAUAACACAGAAGCCAUAUGAAACAAAUGCCAUACAAACUACAGAGAAGGGAACAAAGCACAUCAAAGGUAAGCAACAUCCUUGCCCAAAGAGGUGUAGGAGUAACUCACCCAGUCUCUCUUGUUUUAGACAGUCCUGUAAACAAUUCCUUCUCUCCUCCUUGUAUAAAACGCGGACAUGGCUUAAGUCUGAGCCUUCACAGGGAGGAAUUAUGUAGAAUUCAAAGCUAUCGAGCUUUCCUACAGCAACCUUCAAAAUCAUUCCAGAAGCAAAUUAGGGACACAAAAGAGUGCACUAUCUUACUAAUUAAGCAAAUAAAAAUAUAGAGUAAAUAUAUAGUGCAAUACAAAAAUAACUCAUUCACAUUAUUUUGUUGAAACAAAUUUGGUUCUUAGUUUAUUUAUGGGGAACAUUCCAGGUUUCUCAUAAACUCUCCUGCAUAAUAUUGUUUAUCUAUUUUCUUCUUGUCUCACCAUGUCAGUUAUCCUUACAAAACACCACCAUGCUAAACAAAUAAAUAUCCCUGUGUCUUCCUUCCCACAUACAUUUCAAUUAACUCGAAGCAAAGCAAAAAGCAUCUUGUCUAAAGGCAGGAAGCAAAUUUUACAAUUAAUAAAGCUAACCAUGUCUUGACAGUUAGACUUAAAGGGCAGAUGGAACAUUAGAAAAAAAAUGGAACAUGAAGACACAGAAAAACAAUUGCAUGGUGAUUAUGAAUGGAUAUUCACAUAGUCAACUCUCAUGUUCUGCAACUACGAGCUUUUCUCAAUUACCUAGACCUAUGGAGGGAAUGAAAAGAUCGUCUAAAGAUACUUAAACAUUUGAGAACACUGAAGCUCUCCUCUCUUUUGGAAAAGUUAAGGCCAGGCUAACUUAAAGGAUCAGUUAAACAAACAAUAGAAGAAAAUGCCAAGACUUUCCAGUAGCAUAUUAUACCUUUUUAUAUGUCUGAAGAAAAUUCAAGAACCUAACCCACUCUAUUUCCUGUUGAGAGUUUUCAGAGGCGCGAUACAAGCUGCAACAAGGUAACCCAUGAGGAAUAUGAGCUUUUUCUGGCCUAAUUAUGUGUGAUAUGCUCCAAUAAGUAGGCCUGUUAAAAUCAUAGAUAACAGGUGUCAAAAUCUGCAACUGGUGGUUAAUAACUUCCACAGAGAAACAGCACAUAGAAAACUGAGACCCUUGUAUACUUCAAAAAGCUAAAGAAACAAAAUCAAUUGGAGAAAUAAGAGCUCUGGCAGUAGAUUAUCUCAGUGGAUAAUGCAUUCAAGAAACCAAAAGACAUUCAUGACAAAAGAACACAAAUGCAUCCUCCCUUUCCAGUUUUUUACUCGGAAGGAAAUAAAGUUCCUGUCUCAACUGAUUGGUUGAUAAUCUCAACAUAUUAAUUAGUUGCCACAAAUAGACAGAAACACUUCCCUGUUUUUUAUAAGCAUUCUUUGGACAAAAGUUGGUACAAACAAUUAGAACACAACCAAAUGCAUGUCAAUCUUGGUUCUGAGAGGAACAAGAUCAUGCAAGUAGCAUACUGUACAAGACCAGUAGAUAUAUUGUCAAGAAAGGCAUGCAUACAUCUUGGAAGGAGGACUGAAGCAUUGUGUCCGACAGAUGGGUUUAUGAUCCUUUGUCAGCAGAACAUAGCAAUUAAUAUCACCUGCAAGAGUUUGUCAGCAUAUUGGAUUCAAAGAGGGGUGAAGAGCAGCAACAGAUAUUCAAUAUCUACUGGGAUCAAUCACAAAAAGAUAUUAGAUCCAAAAUUGACUAACAAAAUAAAAGUUACUUUCCCGGAAAAACUCAAUGAAACUCAAGGCCUACCUUACCUUUCAUGUUUAAAAAGUAUUACUUAGAAAGAAGUUCAACCUACACUUUCAGAAUGGAUGUCUCAAAAGUCCAGCAAUCAUACACGAAGAAGUCUCACUUUCAAUAAUUAAAGAGAAAUUACCUAUACUAGUUUCCAUUUCAGAAUUGAUAAGCUUUCAAAAUUUAGAUAUUCUAUGAGAAAGACAUUGUUAAGGAUAAAUCCCAAACAAAUAGGUGCAAAUUUAUGGCGUAACUUUUUUUUUCUUUCGAUUUAUGUAGAUGCUAGGAUAUACUAAUGUUUCUAGUACUUAAAGCACCAUUGCCACAAAAAGUAAACUCUCCACCACAAAAAAAAAAGUAAAAGAAAACAAAUUCUAGUAUCAGGUAAUGAGUAUCCUUCGAAAUUCUUUAGUAAAAGUAUGAGAUAUAUAUGCUAAAAUGAUUCUUGGGAUUUAAUGAUCCUAAAAGCAUAAAAAUUAAGACUUAAUAAUUGUUUUCCCUACUUAUUUUUGUUUUUCUCAUCAAUGAGGUCAAUUAUAAACUGUUGACUUCACCAGAAAAACAACUGGUUUCAUAGAGGAUUUACUUUUACCACAAAAAAAUGUAAUUUCUGUUUCUGUAAAUGUAAUGACUAACAGUGCUACUAACUAGAAUGGAUCCAAACAAAAGGCUCUCCCAUAAAGUUCAAUAACAUUCCUGAAGUUGAUAUUCUAGACUCUGUUAAGCAUGGUCAAGGAUGAAUUAUUCACAACAUCAUACAUAUGAAAUCUGUUUUGUUCUCAUGUUCAGCAACUAUAGCAGUAUUAUUUAGUGGUCUUUCAAGAUUCCAUUAAUGGUUUUUCAUAUGUAUCUUUGUUUGUACCACAUGCCUUUAAUUUUCUGGAAAGACAAGUGCAUUCCCUCAUCCCCAAUUUGAUUCCAUAUAAAUACCUCUCUCCUGAAGAUAGAAAGCUCCCCCCCAUAAAUGAUUACUUUAGCAAUUAUGUGAAUGAAAUACUUACCUUAUGUUGCCUUAUCGAAUCAUAUGUAAGGAUUAUUCAACAUAAACAAGUUAAUUACUCUUGCAAUCUAUUGAAGCCAAGUAAUUUUUUAGUUUUAAUCCAUGUUCAUCAGCUUUUAUUAUAGCAUGUUUUUUGGCAGUUAUGAUCAUAUUUCAUAACCAAAGGUUACAAAAUAAAUGUCAUUGCUUGCACUCCUGUUGAAGAAAAAACAAAACUCCAAAAAGAAACUACAACACAAAAUAAAAGCAACCAUUACCAAUAAAAAUAGAAAGAUCAUUCGAUGAGCAUCACUUGAAGAAAGGGGUGGUGAAAACUGACCCCAAUCAGCUUCUUCAUUUGAGUGAGGGAAACUUGAAAUAUCAAAAACAAAAUUAAAAAUAAAUUAAGAUAAAACACUUGAUUCUUAAUGACUAGACUACGUGUUGCUUUCUAUGAUAUAUAUCCCAAACUUCCUUCACCUUUGUUAUGCCACUGGAUACCUAAAUAUUUCAAAGAAACUACAUACCAAAGUGCCUAUCUCAUAGCCAAUGCAUUUUUAGCAGUCUAAUUCAUAUUUUGAUAAAUGACAACUCCUCAUUUUGCUAAUGAAGCAGAAUCAACUCAUAUUGGUAGCUUUUCCAUAAAAGUGCAAGAAUGCAAAGCAUACCUUCAUUUGCCAGCUCAUUCUUUAAGCAAAAAUCUCCCAUUGUUAAAACCUGCUUCAAGCAAUGAACAUGUCAUGGUUAGAGACAUUCAAGUUGAGAGAAACAAUUUGCAAACACACUUUCUUAGAUGUCAUCACUCUUCCCUAUCUUCAUAUAACAGACCAAUUUGCAACAGCCCAGUGAUAAACCAAUAACUCUAAAUUGACUAAUUACCGUCGCAUGCAUUAUUAAAGUGCAAAAUAUGAACAGAUACAAAGAGAAGUUAAAUCAAACAGAUUUAGAAAAGCAACUAGCAGAGAGUCCUACACUACAAACUCCAACAACUCCCCAACCCCCCCCCCCAGCCGGGGUGUGUUUGGGGGGGGGGCAUUUCAAAGAUCAACCCAUUGCAAUUUUGAGAGGUAUUUACGAUCAUCUUUGAGUUUGAUCCAAAGGUCUCGUCAAACUCUGAAAACACAUGACUACUCGAAGUUGAAGCAGAAAGAGAUGAAAACCAUCAAGAAAGGCAACCAAUGCCAACGAGCAGGGCUAUGUUCUGCAUUUCCUUGUACGAAUGAAACUUUGAACUAGAGGAGAAACAGCAUAAACCAACAAAGAAAAGCAAAACCCAAACAUUUUUACAAUGGAGCAUCAAUUAUAACCCGUGAUCCUCUAACCCACAACUGCCCUGAAGCUCAUUUUAACACUCACCAGAAACCUUUGCUUUAGCGCCCUUUUUUUUUAGCACUUACCUAUCACUUCUCUAAAACUGCAUCAACAAGGUUAACCCAAAAAAGCAUAUUUACACUUCCAAGGAUGAAUUUUCUCAAGAAAUUUAGAAAUUAAAGUUUUCGUUCAAUAAUAGCAAUACCAAAAAAAUAAUUUAAAAAAAUAUAACACAAUAAGUCAUGAGACCUGCAUUUCAGCAAAGAAAAGCAAGCAAAACUUACUUAUUUCUACAAAAAAAAAAAAAAAAAAAACACUUGCUUAUGCUAGUAAUACACGGACAAUAAAAUAAUAGUAUUGUGAGAGUCCAGUACGUUGCUGGUACCACUACUAAGCCUAUUGGGAUGGAGAACAGACAAUAAUGUUACUACUAUAAAUAGAUAAGAAGGGUUAAAAAAGCAAUAAGAUCGGGAAAAAAAAAGGUAAAAGCGAGGAAAAAGUACAAAACCAGCAAAAACUAAGACGAAGACGAAGAAUAGAAAAAAUCGUUUCGCCCCAAAAAAAAAAAAAAGGAAAGAGUUGAUACUUGAGUAAAUAGAAACCCUAGACCCAUCUUUGAACCUUAAAGGGUUAAAACCCGAGAUAGGAAAAAUAAUCAAUAUUAAGCAGUAGCAGGCUAGCAGUGACUAAAAGUGCUUUGCAUGCGUUCGUCGACCACACACGUUCAUAAACGGAAUGUCGCAACCAAAAUGGGUAAAGAAGAAGAUGGGAGAAGGUUAUUACAGCAGCGACUUUGCCUUUGAUCACGGCGACCAGCAACGGCGAUAGGCGGAGAAGCCGGGAUGGCGAGGAGUCGGAUAGAGUAAAGAGUGUGGAAACUAGAGUGAGAGAGAGAGAGAGAGAGAAGAAAACGGGGAUUGGAAAGCUUUUUGGACUUUCCACUGACAUGCAGCUAUGCAAGUCGGCUCCACAACAACAACUCGCGUAAAACAAAACGAAGGAAGAGAACUAAUGCGACGUUUAUGGGUUGGGUUGGCACAAUGAACUCUUUUUAUUAUAUUGCUAUUUCUCAUUCGUAAACAUCGUGUUCUAAUUUUUUUUUACUUCUUUAACAUCUAAUAACUAUUAAUUCAAUAAUACACAAAAUUUAACAUACUCAAAAAAUCAAAAUACAUAAAAAAUGAGAUUUUUUAUAAAUUUUCUGCUAUAUUUUUUAAUUUUCUAUUAUAUAUUACUUUUUUUAAGCUAUUAUAUUUAUUUUUUAUUGAAUUAAUAGUUAUUGGAUCUUAAGAAAGCAAAAAAGAAUUAAAACAUGAUGUUUAUGAAUGAGAAAUAGCAAUAUAAUAAAAAGUGACACAGAGAGUGACACAGGAUGUGGGACAGAAGAUCCGUUGCGAGUGAGUAGAGACCGAGACGGUAAUUUGCGAUCUGCAAAUUUGAAGUUAUUAAUUAAUUGAAAAAAGUGUCUUGCGUGCAUUGUCACGAUAAUAAUUAUGGUUAUAAAAUUAAAAUUACUAUUGAAAAGUGUUUAGAUGCAAUGACAAACGAAUAUGGACGUGUGCGUGGUAAAUUAAGUCUAAUUUAGAUGUCAUGUACCCUUUAAAUAAUAGUACUUUACUUAAUAAUAGUGGGAUUUAUCUCAUGGAAAAAUAGUAAGCGUUCAUAGUUUAUUUGAACACGUACCACUGUAAUAUAAAUUGUAUAAUAAAAUAAACAGUUUGUCUAAAGGGUGGUGCUAUUGGCACUUGGGGUUCAAUCUUAGGUUUUUUGAAAAGUAUAUAUAGUUAACUUCACAGAUUAUCAAAAUGACCCAAAACAAAAGGGAUGCAAUAAUUGUUAUGCUACUAUAUGUAUUCACGUUAGUUGUAAUUUAAAUAUAUUAACGAAUGUCUAAAAUAAACAACACAAAAUACAAUUAAGUAGUUUUUGUUUUUAUUGAAGAAGACUUCAUGUCUUACAAAAUGAAAGGGAAACAAUUGUUAUGUGACUUAUGCUCUAAUUAGUUGAUCUUGGAAACUUAUGAAUUAUAACGCGAAAAAUAUAAUAGUCCCUUUUCCACAUAAUUUAUUAGUGCUGAUAGACUAUGAGGGGGUUUAUUUUUUUUUCUCCCUCGUUAUUUUUUUUUUUUUUUUUGGAAAAUUGAGCUGCAAUGCAUUAUUCAUAAGACAACUUGCUAUAGUCGCACAUAGAUUUUGUUGAUUUUUAGUCGCUGAUUAUGAAAUUAUAUGCACUGUUCAACAACACACACAAAUUGAAACAGAAACACUAAGGAGGUAAUUAAAAAAAAUUACUAUUGAUUCUCUAGGGAAAAAAAAACUGAAACAAUAAUUUGUCAUGGAACCUCAAUCUUGGUUGUGUGAGUUCUCUACACUUUCCAUUCUUUUUUCAUUAUUGACGAUUUAAGUGGUUUAAUAAAAUUGGAGUUUAUAAACUAAAAUCUGAAAUUUGAAAUUUGAAUCUAUUAAAUUAUUGAAUUAUUAAGUAUUAAAUCUAGUACAUUUGAGUGUAUAUCACAUUCAAUGUGAAGUGAAUAGUUUAUCACUUAAUUUUGGGAAUAAAUUUUGUCUACAAAAUUCAGCACCACUUAAUUAAUUCAAAUGUUCAAUUUUUGAUUAUCAAACGAUCUGAAUAUAUUAAGAUUUGAAUCCAUUAAAUUUAAGUGUUGAAUUGGAUUAUCAAAUAUAGCACGAGGAAAUAUAUAAAAGUUUCCAUGUUUCGUCUUUUUAUUUUUGGCCUUUUAUGAGUUUCAAGAAAGAAAAUAAUGUAUAAAAAAAAAGUUAAAAAGUUCCAUGGCAUUACAUGAUUUAAAAUGUUUAUAGUUAAUUGGUGAACGAAAAUAAGAAGAUUUAAACCUUAUCUCAAAUGAGUGAAUGAGACAUGCAAUUUGCUAACGCAAUGUUAUCCAUUCUUUAUUAAAAUAGCGAGGAGUAUUUUCAAUGAUUCUAGCAUGAAAGAAGUUAAAAUUUUAUUAAGUAUUACAUGAUUUAAAAUAUUUUUGCCUUAUGAGACCACCAAUAAAAAAGCAAAAAAAUGUUCAAUAUGAAAACAAAAAGUAAUAUUUACUCUCUCAUGUUUGUUAAUAACACCAAACUUCUAUCAUCAUGAUAUUUUUGUAUCCACAAUUACUGCAUUGUUCUUAAAGUUCAAAGUCAAAGAGAUGUGCUAGUAAUAAUAUAAUAUAUAAGUGCCUAUACUAGCAUUUCAUUGUAGAUAUAAACAAUUUUAAGUUCUCAACUCGAAAAAAAAGAGAGAGAGAGAGAUUAAUUUCGAAACCCGGUUGAACCAAGGGAACCAGCCUCCUCGAUAAACCCUGCACUAGCAGUUGUACCUUUGCAACCCCUCAAACUAGUAAUAGGGUUUAAGCUUCUGAAGCCUGCCAUUUCCUGUUCUUCUUCUGUAUCUUCUUCUUCAAUUGGGAUGGAGAUAGAUUUGGGAAAGCUUCCGUUUGACCUGGAUUUUCAUCCUUCCCACCAGCUCGUCGCCGCUGGACUCAUUUCGGGAGACCUGCUCCUGUAUGUUCUAUUCUAUUAACACGCCUCUUUAUUUUUCUGUUUAUUAAAAUCGUUCAAACUCUAAAAUUUCUAAUGAAAUUGAUGGCUUAUUGUUGCAGAUAUCGGUAUGCUGCUGAUUCUACACCACAAAGGUAAAAGGAUGAAAAAAAAGGAAAAGAAUUGAAGUUUCAGUUAUUGUGCAUAUAAAUAGGCUCACCUGUACAUCCAUAAUUUCCUGCUAUUUUUUGCUUAAUUUAAAUAUAGGCAGUUGAAAGUUGGUGCUCACACUGAAUCAUGUCGAGCUGUCCGCUUUAUCAAUGAGGGUCGUGGUAAUUAUGUUAAUGUGCUUCUGCAUAAGCUAUUUGUCUAAAGCUAUCUUUUAUUCCUGUUUGAUUAUGAUGGUUGUCAAUUAGGUUUCUCCUAAUCAAAAGUUGUUUUUUUUUUUGUUUUAGCCAUUGUGACGGGUUCCCCAGAUUGUUCUAUUCUUGCAACAGAUGUUGAAACUGGAUCAGCAAUUGCUCGUCUAGAGAAUUCUCAUGGGUAGGUAUUAUAGCCGACCAUAUUUUGUAAGAUUAAAGCUAAGUUCACCUUUUGUUUGGUAUGGAUAUGGUAAUAGGGCGUUGCCGGGGCCUGUGAAUCUCAGCUUGAUUAGCUAGUUGAUUAUUAAAAGCAUUAUGCAGUUUUCAAUGUUUGCUUUCAAGUUUCAGUCACAUUGAUUUUUGAGGCUAGAAAUUUGUGUUUAACUGCAGGGCUGCUGUGAAUAGGAUAGUCAAUCUGACAGAAUCAACCGUUGCAUCCGGAGAUGAUGAUGGUUGUGUUAAGGUGAAUUUCAACUACUAAAAGUUGUAUAAACUUCCAUAUUCAAACAAUAUAAUUAAAAAAGUUCAGUUUGCUAAACACAUCAGCGUGAACAGCUAGCAUUCUCUUUAUUUUUGUAUUUUUCUUCUCUUUACUAUUUUUUUUUCUGACGGGAGCUUCUCAACUGAAUUUUAGUAAUUAAUGCUUAAUUUGAGAUGCUCUUUGUUUAUGCAUAACUUCUGCAUCCAGUAAAACUUGUUUGGGAGUGCAAUUGCUUUUCUAGGAGCAUUUGCUUUGAGUUUAAAAUGUCUUUUUAAAGUUUUUGCUUACAAUUCCUUUGCAAUUCAAUUAGUUGUUGUUUUCUAUAAAAAUUUCCUUUGAAGCCUAAUUUUGUUGCUUUUGGAUUUGAGAGGUACUUUACAAAAAAUAACCACACUCCCAGACUGGCAACUGGUGACUAACAAUUAGAUGUUGUUUAUGGUGCACUACUGGUGACUAACAAUUAGAUGUUGUUUAUGGUGCACUACGACCCACAGCAUUUAAUGACCUUUCUCAAGUUUUUAAUCUUGCUUAAUUUACUUUUGCAAUUUAUAGAAGUUUCGUAUAUUUAUUUCCUGAAUUUUGGCGAUCACUAAUAUACACAGGUAUGGGACACCAGACAACGGUCUUGCUGCAAUUCUUUUGAGGCUCAUGAAGAAUAUAUUUCAGAUAUGACAUUUGCCUCUGAUUCUAUGAAACUCUUAGCGACAAGGUACAAAGUGAAAUUGGCUUAUUGAUCUUUUAGGAAAUUGAUUUAGAUUCAUGGACUAGCUGAGUGAUUUUAAAUCAAAGUCGUAGUAGUAUGGGCUGUUCUAAAAUUAACUUUGACUACCACCUGUAAUGUUGGUACUGUCAAACGGGAACACUUGCAUCCUUACAUGUUAUUAUAGUAUCACAUAUGUGUCUAUUUCUUAAUUCUUCACGAGGAUUUAAAGGAAAGUUAUUUGUCAGAAAUUGUUUUGUUUCAACUUUAUCCUAGAAUGAUACCUAAAUUUCUAUUUUCUCCCCUGUUUUUAUGGCGUUGUUACCUUUUUCUUCAUUUGUAAUGCAGUGGUGAUGGAACUUUAUCAGUUUGCAAUCUCCGAAGCAACAAGGUAGUUUUUUUGGCUGUUGGUUUUGCUCGAUUGUUUUUAAUGCUUAUGGUAUGCUAAAAACUGACAUCAGUUGUCUUCUGCAUUGUAGAUUCAAACUCAAUCAGAGUUUUCUGAAGACGAAUUGCUGUCUGUGGUGAUUAUGAAGGUAGAGCUUGUCUUGUUGACAAGAUUUCUGACUUUUUUUAUUGGGUUGAAAGCCCCAUCUCUGUGUUUCAGUACUGACAUGCUUGUCACCAUUAGGGAAUCAGAAUUAUCUAUCUCACUAGUUUUUCUUUCGCAACAGAACCUGAGCGCAUUUUUAUUUGUAAAUGUGUAUGACCUUGUAACCAUGCUAUUGCAGACUGUACUCUUAUUUAAGAAAUGUGCCUCCAGAUUGCUGCUAUUUCAAUGAAAUUUGAGGGCUAUGGUUGCCUCUAGGCUCUGUUGCUUGUGCUUUGCUUUGCAAGUUUACAUUUAGUCUCCUUUAUAGUUAUUGAAUCUUUCAAAACUAAGACUGAACUGAACGUGGUCUGGUGACAAGCCUGCAGAAAACGGAUAUGCUUGAUGCAAUUCUGCCUAUGACAUAAAUGUCUUAAAGAAACUUGUUUUCUAUCAGAAUGGUCGAAAAGUUAUAUGUGGGACACAGACUGGAACUCUAUUGCUGUAUUCGUGGGGAUUCUUCAAGGAUUGCAGGUAUUACAUGCUUAAUAAUUCUUAUGUUGGACUGGCCAGCAUACUUGAUUUUGUCCAAAACUAACACAUAUAACUAAAAUCCUCAUUUCUCUCUUUCCCUUUAUUGGUUAUAAAUGCUGGUGUAUAAUGCUAAUUGUUCUGUGAUUCUAACAUUCCCAGUGACCGGUUUGUUGAUCUGUCUCCAAAUUCUGUUGAUGCCUUGUUAAAGGUGCGUGCCUGUGUGUUUUAAGUGUUCACUUUUAGCAGACCUUAGCUGUAUUAUCCUGCUUGAAGCUUACAAGAUUUCUUCUUUCCCAUCCAAUUAUUAUGUCUCAUAGCUUGAUGAAGAUAGGGUAAUAACUGGAUCCGAGAAUGGACUUAUCAGGUGAGAUUAUACUUUUGUAGUGUUCUGAUGAUUCUAUACUGCUUGUCAAAUCUAUCAUUUAUUGAAUAAAAUUCUUUUAUGUGUGUUCAGCCUGGUUGGAAUAUUGCCAAACAGAAUAAUUCAGCCAAUUGCAGAGCAUUCAGAAUAUCCUAUUGAGCGUCUUGGUAUGACUACAGUGAUUUCCUUUUCCUUGAAUUAUUAUUGGAAUUCUGGAGAACUGAUUGAAUUGCUCACGUAUACAGUCAUGCAAACUGAUAGAGAAUUACGUCUCUUAUUGAGCAGCUGUUCUGAGUAAAAGUUCUUUUGCUCUUGUAUAUUGCCUUUUUUGCAUAGUUGCUUUGUAUAUUUUGCUUGAAGCUAAAUCAUUAGCCCUAUAUGUACUGAUUGUCGAACCUUUCUUUUUUUUUUGGGGGCAGCUUUUUCUUAUGAUAGAAAGUUUCUUGGCAGUAUAUCACAUGAUCAGCUAUUAAAGGUGCUUGCAUUUCCCCUCUCUCUCUCUCUUUCUCGUGUGGAUCGAUUUUUUUUACUUUCUGUACUUCCCAAACUAUGUAGUAAACUUAAUUUGACUUUUGGAACAAAAAUAAGUUCUGACAUGCCAUCUCUGUUCCCAUGUCUGUGCCCUUGUAGCUGUGGGAUCUGGAUGAUUUACUGCAAGGUUCUGGAAAUUCCAAGACUCAGUCAGCUGUUGCAGACAGUGAUGGUGACGAGAUGGAUGUGGAUGAUGCAAUGGCAAAAUCUUCCAAGGGUGUGUAAAAUCUGCUUCCUAUAGCAGACAUCUCUGAUUCUUGCAUUUUAUUCUGAAAUUUCAGUUCUAUAAUUUAGAUUUUGGGGAUACAUCUCAAGCUUUUGCUCAUAGCAUUCAACUAGUUUUAUCACAGUGAGAUUGAUUCAUGCAUAUUUCCUGUGUCUGCUAUUACUUUUUACAUAUCAUGAUUAUAUAUGUUUCACAAUAUUUGGCUGGAUGACUGAGAAUUUUAUUUUUCAUCUGACCACAUCAUGUAUGCUGUGCAGGCACCAAGAUGAAAAACACAAGUAAAGGACAAGACUUUAGCAACACGAGCAACUUUUUUGCUGAUUUGUGAUGGACUGAAUUGUUCAGUAGCUUCAUCAAUUUGUACAUCUCGGAUAUGAAAAUGUUGAUGUUGAUGUGAGGAAAUUAUAUAGCUGCAAAGCAUAGCUGCUGGUUGCAGAAUCAAAAGUACGUUUUUACCUAAGCAUGUUCCUUCUAGAAUAUACCCCAUUUUGGUGACCUGCUGCUUGAGGGCAAGAAAGGAAAAGCCACCAUGCAGAUUUCAGACCCUCAGUUUCCCUGUGCUUGGUCCUUGGAGGGAGAAAUGUUACUCUAUGCUCUCAACUUCCAUUUGUAUGUUGAAGAGUUUUAUGCUAGAAGAUUUGUGGGUUAGAUCAUAGCAGAUGAACAUUUGGAUAUCUUCCAUCUUUCAAACAUGUAGUUGCAUAUUCUCUUUAUUUUGUGGGUUGGUUCCUGUGUGGUGGUUGCGAUUCAAAAGUAAGCAGAAAGCAAAAUGCUGCUUGCUUUUGUUCUUCCCAUUAUAAAUCCAGUUAAAAAAGAGAACACCUUUCAGUCUAUAGCGAUGCAUUCUGAAAUUUUAUAAACGGAUGGACUGGGUGGUGGAUUUGCGGAUUUAUAUUGGUCGUGUAUGUUCACUGUUCGCUCCACAUUUGGGCUUCGACUGUUAUUGAGAAUUGAGAUAGCUUUGAUCACAAUUUUCAUGUUCUCUCUGACCACGCCCCUUCCCCCCCCCCCACCCCUCCCCUCUCGUCCUCCUCCUCUCCCCCAAAAAAACCCCGAAAAAAAAAAAUACUUCUUCCAUUUCCUUCUGCUUAUGGUAGGUUAAUUGUACUACAUGUAAAUCGCCUAUUAUUAGAUUAGAUCGCCUCUAGUAAGUAGUAACAUCUGAUUAGAAAGUGCAUUAUAAUCAGUAUACCUAGUUAUAAAUUUGCGGAAGGGAAUCAAAUCAGACGAGGGACUUGCUAACAUGAUGUUGGCAGUUCAAUCUUCACUCUUUUUUUUUUUUUUUUUAAUUGCAAGUCAGACAUUGUACGUAUAUAAUGCUGUUCAGUAUUCAGCAAGUGUACAAAUUAUUAAAUCGCAAAAGAUGCUUUUUUUUUUAAUUGCAAGUCAGACAUUGUACGUAUAUAAUGCUGUUCAGUAUUCAGCAAGUGUACAAAUUAUUAAAUCGCAAAAGAUGCUUUUUUUUUUUUUUUUUCUCAAAAGAAAGCUAAACAAAUGAAGUUAAUGCCUCUCGCUGAUCCCAAACGUCCCAAAAUGCAGGUCCUGCAUGACUGUUGCCCAUAUUCUGGGAAAUAGUCAUGCAACUGGAAGCACACUAAUAUAGGGCUCACAUAAUUCCAUAUUAAGGUAAUCAAUUAAAUCACGCCCUAGAGCAAGAAUACCAAACAAAAUUGAAGAAUAAAAGACAGUUCCGUCUGUUUUUUUGAAGAAUAUAAGAUGGAAACAAAUAGCUGCAGUAUGCGUAUAUUUUCUACUCGUAUAAAAUCAAAACAUCAGCAAAGCAUGCACAGAGAUAGAAUGAUCAUUGGUCAGCCAGAAAUCAGAAAUUUGACUUCCUGAAAAAACUCAGGGAUCCGUAUGGGGGGGGGGGGGGGGGGGAGGAACACCCAAUCAAUAAUGAUUCCACAACUUUUCCCUUGUGCACCCAGAAGCGGCCAAAAUUUUCUCGUAUCUCUCGAAUGCUCUGAGCAAGGCUGAUUAUAUUGAACAGAUUGAAUAACCACCUCCAGACCCAUUUCAACCUAAUCCAUUGAGGACUUCCAAACUAGGAGUACAUGAAUCUAUCAAACUGCAACAGACCCUAAUCUUGUAUCUGUUGUAUCACUCAGCCUAAACUGAGGCUUAGAUGGGAAAACAAAAACAAAAGAUGAAGCAAUUGAGGGCUGAAAGCCAGCACUAUAUCUGACGGAGGUUACAGAAACUCGAGGUAGCUGUUGUGAACCCGAGGCCAGAGGAACAAGCUUGAAACUCAGUAUAUGCUCGGAUUUGGGAAGAACAAAAAUUGUGUCAUUAUGAGACCCAGACAACACAAAACUUUGUGAAUCUGUAAGUGAGUAUUUAAUCUCUUGGAGCAGUUGGGUUCGAUUAUGAAUUCUAAUGGGAAAUGUAAAAGGGUCUCCAAGAAUGGCAUGUGCAGGACACUCUAAACUCACAAUUAUUGGGGGUUGCUCCACAUAUACAUCCGGAAGCCUCUGUUUUGUCAAAACUUCUGUAGUGCAAGAACCAGAUUGUUCUUUGUCGCCAGAAUCUCUCCUCCAUCUCAAACACACUGUUCCAAUCUUCAAUUUUGCAGGAUUUACCUCAGGAAUGACAGAAAAGAUUUUCUUGAACUCCUCACCUGGCACUAUAGGGGCAGGUUCCAUGGGGUCCUCAGUCUUUUGUCCUACAGUGCAACUGCCAUCAGUCUCUGACUCUAUAGACAUUGAUAGCAACCGCAAUGGGACUUCCGAACAGUUCUUUGCACUAACAAGAAGUAUGCUUUUUUCCUUCAAAGGCAGUAUUGGUGUCAGAUCAAAAUCCCCAGUUGCUUUAAUCAUAGAUGGCAAAAGAGGGUCCUGCCUAAAAGGCAACAUAUACCUAUGGUUGAUUAUCAGGGCAGUCUUCCCUUCAAUCUCCAAGUUUUUGUGCACAUGAACUUUUUGUGAGCUAGUUUCACUGCUACAAGGAUUGUAACCCAAUGACACAUACAGCAUAACAGGUUUGGGGCGAUUCCAUCUAAUUUCCAGCUUGCAGGACCAUGACUUGCCUUCACUGAGAACUGGUACAGAAAUCAAUCCAAAAGAAGGUUGAAUUUUACGAAUAUUGUCAGAACCAGCAUCGGAUUGGUCCUCACACUCUUGGCCUGAAACUCCUACAAGCUCCACAUGAAGAUUAUCUGUUGAAAAUGGUUCCACAUCCCUGGGACUAAGCAAGCCUCCCCCUUUUGUAUCCACCAGGUUAAUCUUCAACUCACCAGAAUGGACUGAAUGGCCCUUUGAGGUAACAGUCACAGGUACAACAAAGUUCUCCCCAACUAAUGCAGGGCCAGAAGAACUUAAUUUCAGAUCGACUUGUGGAUCUGGUUCUUCAACCUGGAUGGCUUUCUGACCAGAGGAUGCCAAAGCAGGAUCUUUGAUUGGUACAGUUUCUAGACGGUUUUCAAAUUUCCAAAGAGGCAAGUCAUUCAUUGAAGCAGGACUCUCUGCUCUGCAACAGAUGGUGAAGUGUGGUCCUAUUCUCGCAAUAACAUACAUGCACUCAAGCUUACCACUUUGCUCUGCAUCCAUUCGCAAGAUAUCUUACUUUCCAGUGGCAGUAAAUAAAUUAAAAAAACAGUUGAUAUAAUGAAGGGUCCCAAAUUAAAGUCAAGCAAAGCAAACGAAGAAACCUAAUAUUGGAAGUAACAACGUAGAGAAAGAGAGUAGACAAAUACACAAGUAGGGGUCUGAACCAAUAGAUCUCCUUUUCAUAUUUUAACUUUUGUUUUUUCCCUUCGCAUCUUUGGGUUAAUGAAGCUUAUUCUGGACAAUAGACAAGUGUGAAACUGCAGUUCGACAAGCCAGAAGAGCUCUUUCUACAGAUGAGUGGAUAAACAACGAAGACUUCUCUGUCAAAAGCAGCAGCCAUAACUAACUUGCACACCAAGUUAAGAGAACAGAAUGACCAAGGAAGCCAAUAAACAGCUACCAGGGAAUUGUAGCAGGACUUGUGGAAACAAAAGAGAAAUCUUGGAGAAAGGAUGGUGGCCUUUGUGGGGAGAAAGGGUGGUUGGGAGGGGCUGUUUUGAAGUUAUUGCACAUACCGUAAGUGUAUAACAAGUAACAGCUAAAAUUUUGUGAUGGAAAGAAACAAUUUUGACCUUGAAACUGCAGUUUCACACUUGUCUAUUAUUCAGAAUAAUUCAUUAAUCCAAAGAUGCAGCCGUAACUGGCUGGCACACCAAGUUAAAAGGACAGAAUGACCAAUUGAAGCCAAUGAACAGCUAGUAGGGAAUUGUAGCAGGACUUAUGGAACCAAAAGAGAAAUCUUGGAGAAAGGAUGGCGGCCUUUGUGGCGAGAAAGGGUGGUGGGGAGGGGCCAUUUUGAAGUUAUUGCACCUACCAUAAGUGUACAACAACAGAAAUUUUUUUAUGGAAAGAAACAAUUUAACUGGAUCAGACAGGAUAUGAAGUACUACUACAAACAACAAAGAAAUAUCAUAUUUCAUCACUCAGUUUUAAGUAAGGAUGAAAUAUGAUCUAACUAAAUUGAACUUUUGGUAUGAAUAAUAUAAUUACAAUCAACUUAGAUAUGUAAUGGACUCAAAUGCAAUAAUAUUAUCAUGUAGCAGUAACAAUGGUUUUUAAAUAACAUAUCCAUUUUUCAGGGUAAAAGAGAAAUAAUAUUCUCGAUGUGUUUAUAUGGUACCAUGAACCCAAAAUUCAUGAACUGCAGUGUGACACUGACUGUAAGCAAUGAAGGUACAUUAAUCAACUUUAUCUAAUUAAGAUAUAUUCUCUAAAUCACAUACCUGCAUCAAACCAAUACAAAUCAAAUAUAACUAUAUCUACCUUAUCAAUCAACCCAAUUGAUUUGAGCCGUCAAAGGCACAAUAAAAAUUAGGCCAACAAACAAUUGCAAGAUGAGAUGACAACCAAGUUCACAACAUUUAAAUGACAACCUAGAUCAAAUAGUUUACAAAAGCCACAAAGUCUAAUCUAUAACGUUUUGCCUAAAAACUAAGUACUCUAAUAGAAAAACCCAAAAAGGUGUUGGAUUAUAUUCAUCUUUCACAUUUCCUUUUUCCAUGGGAGCUAAUGGGGCAACUGAUUCACUUUUACUUGUUCAUCCGAUAAAAACAGAGCUGAAAAAACUAGCUUACCAGAUUUUAUGUCAUAUGUCAGCCGCAACCAUUUGUUGGUAGCAAUUUCCAGGGCAGGAGCCAUCUCCACUCUGCGACCAGGCUGUACAUUGGAGAUUGCAGCUAACUGGGGCCUCUGGCCAUUUAUAAUAAUGAAAUUACAUUCGGUUUGGUUAAAUUGGAUCUCUAACUGAUCAAUUUCAAACUUCAGAGGCAACCGUGUCAGAAGUGAAACUGUGAGCAUGGUCGAUCUACCAGGCUUAAUUAUUUGCUCAUGAAAAGCAACUGAUGCAAGAAGUGCCACUCUUAGGGGGCUCACAAGAUCAAUCUCAAGAUAAAGAGGAUGACAAUCAGUUACUUUAAGAUGGUUAUUCUCUUCAUUCAAUGCAAUUUCUGAUUCUCCUCUGAUAACUCCAAAUACUUCCUUGUGUAUCAUUUCUCUCUGGAGAAGGCUUGGAGGCCCAGCUGGGCCACAGUCCUUAAAGAACUGGGCAUCCUCAGUAUUUGAAACUGGCAGUGCAGCCAUUUCAAGUGAUUGCUCCACGAAAUCUUUCACGGAACCAGUUUUCCUUGAGCAUUCUCGAAGGUAGCCUAAACCCUCCCACAACAAAGCUACCCAACCCUCCUGUCGAUAAAGAUUUGCAACAUUGUCCAAAAUCUGUUUUGCAUCAGCAAAUUCAUUUAUUGAGAAAUAUUCCCGUGCCAUCUGGACCCCACAAUAGGAGGCCAUCCGCAAGGUCUUAUUCUUGUUAUAUGCUUCAAAACAUCUUUUCAGAAGAGCUAUUAUUUCAAAGGAAUCUUGGAACCUUUUCCCCUCAGCAAGAGAGUAGCGGAUGAACUCUUCAUCAGUAAGACUGCUAAACACACAAGAUACCAUAUUAUAUAUACAGGAAGCUUUGGUGGGGGAAUUCAAAGGUAGUCGAGCGAGGGACAGAGAAAGAGAGAGAGAGAGAAGAAAAAGCAAAAGAUAAACUCACGGUUGCAUUGUAAAUGCCUCCCCACCAUGCUCAAGUACUCUUGCAAACUGACCAACAUAAACAGAAUCAAUCACAGAUUCGUUACUUCCAUUCUUCUCAUCAGCAAUUUCUGACAUUGAUAAUGCAAGUUCCAAGCACGAACUCUUCUGUUUCAAAUAUUGAGCUGCUGACUGUUUCAGGGUAGAUAGUAAGAUAUAAUUAAGAUAAAGAAAUGUGGAAGUCCAACUACAAAACUGAUUUAAUGCUUAAAAAGAAUCAGGCAAUUAAAAAGGAAAAGAAGCAGGCCACAUAUUUGGUCUAACCCUAUUCUUCUGUGCAGACACUAAUUUAGCUAGCCAUUUCCAAUAAUCUGAGAAUGAUCUGGCUAUAGCUAAUUCUGAGGUUCAGUAGCUAGGACUUUGAAUCGGCAAGAGCCAAGUAUCACCCCCCCCCUCCCUUUUCUUUUUUCCCAAGGAAAAAUUUCCCAAAAACACCUUUCAAUAGUCUUGAAAGGAUUGAGGCAUGUAGAGGUAAUAGAGAUGUCAAUUUGCUAUUUCCUGUUAUUAGGACAAAGAAGAGUGAAGAGUUCUCCCAGAUGACAUAUGAUAGUGAUGUUCACAUCUCUAUUUAGCAUUCUUACAUUCAGUGCAUUUAAUUAAAUAUCUAUGACAGAGAUAUAAAGGGAUUGAGAAGCCAACUUUGGUUUUUUCUUGUAUGCAAAUACUUUCCUCCCUUGUAAUAAAUUCUUUUUUUCCAGCUAGAGAAUAUAAUGAACACUAAGACAAAUGCAAGAUACAACACUUUUUGAAUCAAAUUAUCCUACUAUGAGUUUAGGGCCCAUUUUAAUUGAAGUUGCAUAGAAAGGAUAUCCACAAACCUGGUAAUAAUAAGCUGGAUAGAAUUCCCAUUCAGUCAAUUUAUCUGCAGUUCCUGAAGUUGGAGAUGAAAUGUUUUGGACAGCAGCAGAGCUGCUCUCUAAAAGUUCAGCAAACACCAAAUAUUGCCUGCUUAACCACUCCCAAUGAAGAAAAUUAGCAUCUGGUGCUCCCACAAGCCUCCUAUAAGUAUCAGUGUGGCGGCGGAACCAUAUAAUUGCUUCUGCUAAUUUUCCACUAUGCAUGAGCAAAGUUGAAAUUUUAAAAUUCAACUGCUCUGCCACAGUCUUGAUUUCAACUAAGCGUAAAAUUGGAGACAAUCUUGUAGAAGCCCCAACCAUCUGCAAACAAGCACAGAAAUAACAGAAUUAUGAUUCCUAACAGCAUAUUCUAUAUGUUUUCUACACACACGCCAACAUCUAUGUCAAGAGAAGCUGAUAAAGACAUAAUAUGAACCAAUUGAACUCGUCUUGUGGUAAAAAACAACAGCUGUUUACCAAAAGGAAGCAGGCUUCCUCUCCAUAAGCGUCAAUAUGACCUAUUAAUGUGCACAAUACCAUCCAGCUUGGAAAGGUGAAUAAAUCAAUAUUCUCUUCUACUUGCAUUGUAAUGAACCUAAACUAGCCUACAUAGCUGCAAUCAAAGUGCAGAAAUUUAAACUCAUUCUCAAGUAUUUUGAGAUCUGCUAAAUACAUCUUUUAAGUAAUUGAUUUUGAGGCUGCAAAUACACUUAGAUUCCAUAAAGCUAGAUGGCAUGUGUUAAAGUAGUAAAUUUCUGCAUAGUUGGGAGGGCUUGGAGGAGAUUUAUGAGUAAUUUCCACAGACAUUAAAAUGAGUACUUUUAACAUAAAAAGGAGGACCCAUAUUAGCUCACCAUUUAACUACCGUAAGAACUCCCAGGGUGAAAAUUUCUUUUUCCUGUAAGCUUGCCUUUGCCAUGGAUAACUGGGUAUUAUAGUCUAAGUUGCAAUUGCUUUCUAAUGGCAACAAUAUCAUUUAGUGCAUAAAAAAAAACUGUAUCCUACUAUUCACCAUGGCAUAUAAAGCAGAAGACAGUUGCCUAACCAAGGUUAUCAUGAGCUAAUAAUAACUUUAUGAGACUAAUUAGAUUGUUAUCUUAUGAAAGAAAAUUAUACCUCUCGCACUGAAUGGUAGGCUUCAUCAUAUAGCCUCAAAGCUUCAGCCCAAUCUCUACGAAAUUCUGCAUAUACCCCAACCUAGCAAUACAGAAGUUCAGGCAAAUAAUCAGACAAGGAAGAAAUAUGAAGCACAAGAGAGGAAAGAUGGCAAGAUACUGAGUUCAGCCCUUCAUGUUCUGAUCAAGUGUUAGCUCUUUUGAUGCAUUAAUUUAGGAACAUAUUUAAUCAACAUAAAAAGUUAGCCUGCAUUGAAUACCAUUUGAGUAUGCAGGGAUAAAGUUUCAUCCUAUAUCAACCGAGGAAAGGACCUCUACACAAAAACAACUAAACCCCGAUCUGAAAGUGAAGAAAUACUCUACUGAUGAAUCAUGAUCAAUACUUCCAGACAAAUCCUGAAUCUUGCGGAUGACAAAUUAAAUUUCUAAUUUUGUCAGCCUACUUUAAAGGCUCACAAUUGCUUUUGUAGCUUGACUUGCAUCUAGUUGCAAUGCAAAAAUUUUACACUAUCGUAAUAAUGGUUCUGUUGCUUCAGGCAUAAUAGUAUGCUCCAUGUUGAUUUCAAUAGAACGUAAAAACUCCAAUAUCCUUGCAUUGGCAAAGUAAACAAGUAAACUACUAGAACGAAUUUUAAAACAUGGAAUGUAAAGGGAAUAUUAUUUCACCAGUAAUGCUUAGACAGCAGCUUAUUUACCACAGUAGGAUAAAUUUGAUUGCAGGAAGUUUCAGAAGACAUGAUUCUACCUUGAAGAACAGGAUUUAUUAUUACAUUUUCCUCAUACUCAUUUUAGGCAGAUGUUAGUUCACAAACUCAUCGAAUGGAAAAUUGAACAGCAAAAAGAAUCCUCUGCCAUAUGUAGCACCAGGAAAAUAAAAACUAUAUCAGAUUGGAUCCUAAGCAUUGCAUUGUGCUAGUUGUAGGUAAUUUGACUUUCAAAAUGUUAGGUAUCCGUGAAUAUAGUUAUUUUGUCCAAAAACAUGGCUUUAAACAAGAAAUAUAAAACAAAUAUGAAAAGCACAGAGAAAAAAUGAGCCAUGAUAGACUAAAAAUUACUAACUUUAAAACAGUAGCGGAUGUGCAACUCUAUGGAGAUCGAGCUCUUCCUAUCAAUACGUGUUUUAACUCGCCGCCCUUCCUCUCUGUAAUAUGUAUUUGCCAGUUCCCCCAAUGUGCUCCGGAGUCUGCAAUUGAAUUCUUGUUAAGGAACCAAUAUACAACACAAGCUAUAUUGAAAGACCAUCAUCCUACUAUUAUCGAUGAAAUGGCGUGCCUGGUUAGGGAUUGUUUAAGCUCCCCUGGAUCAUCAGGAACAAAGGUAAUUAUGUACUUUGAAUCUACUUCAGCCCUCUUCCUAAGAGCAAUCAUUCGAUCUUCGCUAAUCUCAUCUGCAUUAAAUCAUUACAAACAAAUCAAAGAAUUCAACAACUCCCCAGCAUCCAAUUUUACGCCAAUAAAGUCACGAUGUAUACCCAAUCUCAAAACGUGAAAAUUACAUUUAUGCACGUCAUGAAAAACUCACCUCUAGAGCUUGACUGGGUUACCACCACCACGAUAAGUUUGAUGUUCCUUCCUUUAGUCACUCCCCUGCCCAUUUCCGAAUUAUCAAAACAUAAGCAAUUCAUCUGGACCAUAAAUUUAGUUACCCAUAAUCUACAGAAAUAUAUAAAUCAAGUCCAUUGAAAGACACUGUCGGGUAGUAAACAUAGUUAUGAUGUAAAAAAGGACCAUACUUGAGGUUUUCGAGGUCGGUGCAGACCUGAAGCCACUGAGCAGGGUCACCGGAAAUGUGGUCGGAGCUGAAGAGAGCGGCAACAACAGCGGGAAUUUUAGUCCGGUGCUUGGAAAGCCAGUCUCUUUUCAAAAUACCAUCGACCGGCCGUCCCGGACCGGCGUUUUCUUUGGGAGUUCUCGCGAACAAUGUGAUUUUGGAGAAAUCGGGCAAUGCCAGGGCGUUGAUUGGUGGCUGUUCGGCGUGGAGGUGAGAAGUGAUCCGCGAGUGAAGCUCCGGGCAUCCGACCAAAGCUGCUAGAGCUACCGGCGGAGUGCGGAGUUCUCCUGGGUACUCCUCCAUUGCUUUAAUUGGUUUAUUUACAAGAAAAUUAAUAUUUUUUCUCGGUAGGGGUGAAGUGAGGGGAUUAUGUUGGAAUGGGAAGACGGAGAGUUUUGCGGCGGAGAUCGGAGGUUUUGGGUGGGACUCAGGCGAGGCGAGUUGACUCGGGCGGGAGUUAACUAAGUAGCGAGUAGCGAGUAGUUAUGCUUUGGACUUUUGGAUGGAGACCUUUAGAUUAGCCCACCUUCAUAGUUCAUUUCCUCUAUUGUAAUAUAUAUGUAUACAUACAUAAAAUACAAGAGCCCGCCCGAGAAAAGAAAGAAAACAAAAAAUUUUUGCACUGAUGGGGUCAACUCCCUGGAAAAGUAAAAUUAUAUAGUUCUUCGAUUAAUCAUUGCUUAAAAGCCACCACCUAAGUGGGUGGGGUGCGAGACAAGGAUUCAAAUCUUGCUUCUCACCAAAAAAUAUCACAUUUAAGUAAUUUAUUUCUAAAAAAUUCAGACGAAUGUGCUGUACACCCGUCUAAUUCAAUUCGGUGGUAAUUCAGUCCCUCUGGAUUAUUCUUGGACCUCUUUAGAUCCAUCCAUUCCCUCUUAGUGUAGGAUAGAAUAGAUUUAUCAUUUUUCAAAAAAAAAAAAAAGAUUAAUCAUUGCUUGGCUGAUCCUUUUGGACGCAAACGAUGCCGUUAACUUUUUUUUAUUUUAUUGGGGGUAGUUCAAUCAAUACCCACAAUUGUGGUGAGUUGGAAUUCCCAAAAUUGAAGAGAAAGAAAGAAAAAAAAAGAGAACAACAGAUGGAAUUUGGCCCGAUUAUUUGUUGAAUGUAUAUUCUAGCUGAACAAGAUAAAGACAUAGCCAAGCUUGCAAGAUGGAGCGAUUCGGUCGCAUUAGGGUCCAGGAAUGUGUUCAAUAAAGGUAGAAAAUAGUACAUGAUCAUUUUUUGUAUAUGAAUGCAAUAUCCAGUUACAUAUUUAUACUAAGAGAGUACCAGCAAAAUUAGACAAGAAGAAAUUCAAAGACGUCCUGAAACGCAAUACAGUACUCGAAAGGUAAAUCCCCUUUGUUUAUAUUGGCCUAUGUUCCCAGAAAGAGCACUCGAGAAAAGAAAAGGAGCUAAAACUCAGCUAAGAAGUAAGAACCUAGAGACCUGACCUGACCUGACCUACCUACAGAAUCAUAUCUUGAUCCAAUAGAAUGUGAUUGCAAGAAACCCGCAUCCUGCAACCUGUUACUCUAAAUUUAAAAUCUGAACAGUGUCAAAGGACUUGUUUGUGCAGAGUUUUACACUGACUGCGACCAACACGAGCUCUGGAUCCUCGUUAAAUCAGUCAUCGUCUCAUCCAGUUAUGACAAUAAGAGGAUGGAGCUGUAACAGUACAACCCCGCCGAGAGAUGGCUAAAAAUUGUUGCAGUGACCACCUUGCCACAGCAAGCUUGAAUAUGCACUUUGGACUCAUCAGACUCGAUAGUGAGAGAUGCAAUAGGAGCUACCCCUCCUAAGUCAGUUAAAUGUAGCAAAAACAGAAGGAAACAGAAUGGAAAGUUCAAAAAGUUUGCCCCUUAAGAACUGCCCUUUGCACAUGCUGACAGAAGAGCAAUCCACGCCCUUCGUCUGAUCCGGGUAUCGGAGCAGCUUCUUUUUUCUUUCCUUUUUUUUUUUGGUUAUAAGGUAUCAGAGCAGUCUCAUAUUAUACAGGAUGAUCCGAUGUACCCUUGGUGAUCAUGACUUCAGAAGACCUGCAAGAAACAUACCAAGUUCAGUUGUUGAAAUUCACAUGAUUCUGUUUCACGACUGAAAAAGUAAUCCAGGUCAUAAGUCCCACAUAAAUGGUUUAAUAUCGGGGUUAAUAAACUUGGAAGACUAACACACAGCCCUCAAAUUUUAGUCUAGGGCCAAGACAUAAUGAACAAUAUCACAAGGAUGGCAGAUAUAUAACUAUUUGGUCCCAAUUCCGAGACAUAACAUUGCAGCCCCUCUUUAGCACAUUAGGACCUGCCCAAUCAUUGAACCCGUGACAAAAGCUCUGCCUAAAUUAGGCGGCCUCUAAUUUGAACCAACUGGAGGUCGCCUGCUGAGAACUACAAGCAGUACCAUCCUAAUAGCCAUUCAGAUUAAAGAAAUGAGAAGUUUAUGAGUCAGUUUAAGCGCACGAGUCCAGAUAUUAUUUACUGGAAAACAAAAAGAAAAUAAUGUUGAAGUUGGUAUAGCAGUUAAAGAUCUCUAUCAGGUGUCAUGAAUCCUUAUGGUCAAACUAACAUGAAUUUGACUGACCAUGUGAUUCUUGAAAAAUGAAACUAUCAGGAAGUAAAGGACUAAGCAUUUAUAAUUUUGUCGAAAGCCACUUUACACAAUCUGUUAAUAUUGAUCAUUGAACUCAACCAAAAUAUAAGCACAGUAUAGACCUCUCAGCACAUUGCCUUGGUGAUAGCCUGUCGUUUGUAGGAUUUAAUACUGCAAAAAGUACCUAAGCAAAAUAAACCUACAGAAUGAAGACCAUAUGGAACAGAUUUGGAAAAGACCAGAAAACCAAGUAGAUCCGAAGUAGCACAGUUAUUUAAAGAAAGUAAUUGUUUACAACAACAAUUGCUAACUGUCUAUUCGCAUGUUGGUUUCAAACUCUUCAGAACUCAAUUUCUCAGAAUUCAAGCUGCAAUAGAACCAGUACCUCUUGAAUGCAGGGAAGUUAACUUGCAAGGUCAGAUUUGAAGCCUGCUACCUGGGUACCUUAGUCCUCCAUGUCAAGAAUUACCUGCAUACCACUGUGGUAUUUAGGAGACAGAAGAAAAAGAUAAGAAAUGAAAUGAAAAAUUAGAUGGAUGUCUUAUGACAAGGUUAUCUUGUUUAUGUAUGAAAAAUUCUGAUAACAGGACUAUAAGAAAAAGGUCAAUGGUGAUAGUAUCUGUUUUCUUGCUCUACAGAAACGAAAACUAAAGAGUUGCCAGUUUCUUGAACCAAACAAAAUUUGUACUACCUCCAAAGCUCACACAAGUGGUAAAGUUAAUUUUCUUGGGGUCUCAACUGUCAACACCAGCUGGCAAAUAUACAGGCAACAAAUUCCAAACUUUAAGCAACUUUUAUCAUUUUUAGGCAGAGUAAGAAACUGGUUGGCCAAUUUCCCUCUUCUUUACCACCACCAUAGUACCACCUCGCUUGGCCCAAGCCCACUACUCUCCACCAAAACAAACAAAAAAAAAAUCUCAAACCUCUCUCUAGCCUAUCCAAGCUCUCCAGCCCUACUCACGCAGACAAACACAGUUAAUUCUUUGCAGAAAAUUCAUUUGUUUGCCUGUACAGAAUGUUUGUACAGGAGCAUAUACAAAUACUUGGAUACUAUGAUAAUUCAUUGUAUCCCUCACAUAUCAUGCCAUGAUAAGCACAAAAUGUUCUUUACUGAUCUGAUUUUGAAUUGCUGACCUUAGCAUAUUAUUAAAAUUCAGGUAAAAGAUUUUUAGUUGGCCGAUUGGUAUUGAUGCUCAUCAUUUAUAAGUUGAUGUUCUUUAGCAAAGAGAAAGCUUGAAGUGGCAGACCAUAAAGAAAAAUAGAGACUUUUAUCCAGUUUUUGGGGGGAGGGGGGGUGGGGGUGGACUUUAUUUAUAGCUUUUCCAUACUAAGAAAUCAAUUUUCCUUUCUAAUUUGCACAAGCUUCAAAAACCAAAGCUACUGGUAGUCCUGAAGGGGAUGGCAUCCUCUUAUAAUAGUUAGCAGAAAACAUGUCCAAAGCACAUUUUCUGUGACCCUCCACUUGAAAAAGACCUAAAAUUACAUAUGCUUGUUGAGAAACGUAGACCAAAAACACAAGACUUUAAUCAAUCGCCCUAAAAUAUAGAAACUAUUGAGCAAGUUUUUUUACUGACUUGACAUAUCAACCAACCAAAUAUUGAAUGACAGAGAUGAGUUUCACAACAUUUAAUAUGGAUCUCUGAGAACUAAGGAUGCUUGAGACAUGUAACUGCUAUAAGCCUUCACAAAAUUAUCUAUUAAAAACCUCAAAAAAAAAUUGACAGAGAUUCACAUAAAUCUGCUACAGGAUAAGAAGCACUUGCUUGAGACUAGCAUCUUAUUUCAAGCCAUCAUGCAGUACAACUGCAUAAUUAGUCAAUCUACUCACAUCCAGUUAAUUACCCAGUAAGGCUCAACAAUGAGGCACAAUCUAGAGGGGAGAACAAUUAUCUCUUUUGCAGAGACGUUCCCCAAAAGUACAAUAUCAGAACAAGAUGCCAUUUACAUAUGCCCAGAAGGUGAUCAACAAUAGGACAAAACUGAUUUAGGUGUCUGUGAUGCAUAUGCAUUGAAUCAUAAUUCAUAUACUGCUAGCAAAGAUUUGAGACCUAGAGCAUGUUAUUGAAUCCACCACAAAUCUGUUGAAUAAAGGUAGCAGCUAAGAUAUA